RNAcentral lists this long non-coding RNA (79193 nucleotides) under Sorghum bicolor (sorghum). RNAcentral's name for it is "long non-coding RNA (SBIC_LNC001040)". Lineage: Eukaryota; Viridiplantae; Streptophyta; Magnoliopsida; Poales; Poaceae. The record is from RNAcentral.
GACGGUACACAUGCUUUUAAAUGAGGUCUCAUCUCUGAGUUAGAGUAAACUGUCAAGACUUAAAAUUUACUUACUUUACCUUUCACCAUGGGACUUGUAACCGUCACUUCUGUCUUGAGUGGUUAAAAGAUAGAACAAUCCAGUCAAGUGCCAUGUCGCUUAUUCUUGAUCAGCUAUAGCUCUGGAGUUUUUGCAGAUUUUCAAAUAAAACUCAGAGAUUCCUUGUAUGACUCUCUCAUAUCUCUCUUUUGUGGUAUUUCUAGAUCCUUACCAAGGCAGUGAUGGUAUAUGCCUUCUCUCAAAAUAUGUGGUAUUUGUGGUAUAAGGCAUAGUGACAUUGCCUUCUCUCUCACCCUACUCUAAUAAGGCUUUAAUAUCUGGAGCUCAUAGGUGGGAGAUAAAGUAUACAUACUUACAAGACAUUUAUUGUAUAGUCAAACCAUGGAUCCAAAGAAACAAAUCAAUAAGCCAAAUCAAGAUGUGCAUGUGUGGCGAAUGAAUGGUGUAUAGUGAUGAUGGUGAUAACAAUGGUGAAAGUCUAAUUCUACUUUUGCUCUUAUGAGGGGAUACAUACCUUCCUUGCUUUUUGAAACUUUAUGAGGAGAAUGAGAUGCUCUUCUUUUUUCUUUUCUCUCAGAUGGGUAUCCUGUACCCCUAAUUCUACUGUCGGACACUUGUCCAUUUUUACCUCUCGUCUCACUCUUUUUCUUUUCUUUCGAGGUUCCGGGCACUUGCCCCUUUUUAUUUCCUCAUUUAUUUAUUUUUUCUUUUCUUUUCUUUUUUAUUCUUUUUCUUUUUUUUCAGAGCACUCAUCUCCUGAAAUAAUGUAGCAAGUGGUAGUAACCAAAAUAACUGGAGCAUUUAUUUCACAGGGAAUAACAGGGAUAGGAAAAUGUUUUUGGCUAUUCUCUCCCGGAUUAGGAGUAGAAUGAUUUCGGGUGAAACUGGAGAUGGAAAUGGAUGGAUAUAUGUGGAUGGUACUUCCGGAGUAGAAGUAGCAUAUAUGAGUGAACGUGCAAGUGAAUCUUGAUUUAACCACAUGACAAGCUCCUAAGGGUCUACACAGCUUGACCACACUCAAUGCUCAUAAGCAGUAAAUUAAAUGUGUGGCUCAAAGUCUAGCAAGCAUGUAUAUAUGGCUGUGGUAGGAAUUUAAACUUUCAUCAUACAGGAACUCAUCAUGCAAUAUUUUAAAGAUUUUUCAAAAAUAAAAUUCUCCAGAAUUCUAGCAUCUCUAGGAAUAGAUAAACAGCAGCUCAACCUUCUCAUAUCAUAUCCGUUAACAACUUAGAUUUCAGAUCAAGUUUUCAUCCCACAAGUUUAGAUCUAGAGCAAGCUUUAAAUUAUAACAAUUAUGUCUAAACUUGAGAGAGAACUUUAAAUUUGCAAAUUAGGCAGAGCAACUAUUCAUCAUAUCCAUGCUAGAGUUUUAUUAUUAAGAUUCAUAGCAAACUUUAUUUAUUUAUUUAUUUAUUUAGCAAACUAAGAAAAGAUAUAUAUAUAUAUAAGCAUAAAAUCUUUAUUUGGUUUUUCAUAGUUUAUGUAUUUUAAUAUUCUACUAUAAUAUAAGUAUAAAGAUAGGUAGAAAUACUUAGCGAGAUAAAUAGGGGUGCUCUCCCCCAAGCUGAAUUUUGACGUAAUUUCUCUUGAUGUAGCUAGCAGGUGGCAGAGGUGUAUUUGAAAGUCAGCAGCAUUCUGACAGCGAUUAGAAUGUCCUCCGUCUGCUAGUCUUCUUGAUUCUUAAAUUCUGUGGAGCUCAAAUAGACAACAAAGCUUGUGGAACUAAUUAAGUGUUAGCAUAAAUAUCUAGCCUUCAUCACGUUGAGCUUCCUCAAUAAAUAUUACUCCCUGUUUUUAUAUUUUUAUUUUAUAAAGUAGAAAAGAAAUAUUUAUUUUAUUUUUAUGCCACCACAGUGAAGGUACUUAUGGGUUUUAUGCCACUCGUAUACUCACAUGGGGCUUAGUAUUUUUUUAACAUUUUAAUUUUCUUUUCAAGAUAGCAUGAUUAACUAAUAAUCUAUUUAAGAAAAGUAAAUAAUUAAAUGGAAAAGGGAAUGCAGAAAGGAUAAAUAUGGAUAACUACCAAUCUUACCUUUCGGCGAGGGUUCAAUGUUUUAAGUCUUCUUGUCAAGACUUCUCAUCGUGUUCAUUCUUCAUGUGCGUCAUUUGAUUCAGGUGCGGACCUUGACGUCUACACCUUUUAAUACGGUGUCACCCAUGUUCUUCGUUUGCCCAGCAGUUCGAAGUGCGGUGUUGGUAGUGUCCUGCUCAGUGUGUUUGUGCUCGUAGAUCCAGGUCCUUCACUUGGUAGAGUCUGAGAGUUAUAAAACUCCUCCGUGUUUUGCUCGAAGUGUACCUGCUUAUAGAGACAAGGCAGAGAUCAAGUGCAUGGGCCCUGUUGGUGGAAAACACCAACAGAACCAAAAGUGUAUUUGUUCUUCUCUAACCUUAAGCAUAGUGAGCAAGACAAGUUGAUGGAUGAUAAGUUCAUGAGUGUAGCACUUAUAACAUUUGUCAGAUCAGAUCGCUCAACCUUAUGGAAAGAUAAUCUAUCUAUGUAUAUGUCUUUUUCUUUAUAUCUCUCAAAGAUUGAGUGUGUAACAUUUUAGCUCAUAUGAUUAGGAGUGUGGGAUCAUAGAGGUAGUACUAAGAACAAGGAUUAAAGGACUAAACAUGUUGAAUCAGUUGGGUUGGUUAAUCUAGAGUUGUAAAUCAUACACAUUUGUCUCUUUUAUUUAUAUGAAUGCCAGAACCAAGGAGGAGCUUAUAAAAGUGUUAGUCAAAUAUCUUAAGAUGUUACCUUGCUCGAAGAGUGAUGGUACAGUAUCACCUUGUGGAAGCUUUCCUUUCUUAGCGGUUGUGCAUCGUGUUCGUGGCACCCUUCAUGGAUCAUCUCUCUAUGAUGAAUGAGCUAUGUCCUUCUUGUGCAAAUUGUUAAACUUCAUGUGUCACUCUCUUCGUCUCUGAUGUGAGUUUAUCUCAGGACUUCCCAAAUCGAUAUUGAAAGUUUUUCUGCAGGGGUUAGUCCGACAAAAAUAUACCAAUGUCUACACAAGCAGUUUUUAGUUCAAUAACUGAACUAGACUCCAUGUCUAAUCAGAUUAAGGAAGGUUGUUUAACCUAAGCACCAUGCUUAAUUUAAAAGCCAAUAGAAGUAUGUGCAGUACUUCCAAACUAACACUUACUAGUAAAUAGAGAAAGGUAGCAUGACAGCAUUUAUAGAGAUCUACUCAAGUGGAGAUGAAGUAGUGUGAUUAGUAUUUAACAAAUUGAGCAUGUCUCAAAGGUAGGGACAACCAGCAUAGCAACAUGGCAAAGGAUGUUUUUAUGUAAAGUACUCCCCCAAGCUUGAAUUUUGCAAAAUUCAAGUUUGGAUGAAUUUAAUUCAAUGUUGUAUGAUGAUUGGUUGGACAUACCUUGUGCUUGUCAUUCAUCCGAUCUUCUUGCUCCAAUCCUAGAAAGGUUAGUGACAAGAAUACCCGAAGGAAUAUUAUUUUACAAUUAUCCUUAUAUGCUCAAUACACAAAGUAAUGUUGCAAAUAAUUAAAGGCUCAUGUUACGAUCUGAUCAAUGCUUAUUUUAAGACACUAAGCUUGUCCUUGGAAAACCAUCAGUUUAUGUUGGCAAAGUGGUUUCCCCUCCGACGCCAACCUAUAUCUAGAUCAACUCAACGAGAUCUGCAAUAUUUAUUAUAGACAUAUGCAUCGACAACAGCCCUUUUAAAGAUUUUAUAAAUAGAAAGGAAGAGGGGGUUGGAGAUCUCAAGUGUGGUGAUGUCGGAGAGACCAAUAGAUUGGGAAAAUGUUGCAUAUGAGCAUGGAGUAAAAGAAGUGGCUAUGAAAUAAAUUUCAUGCUCAUUAAUGUUAUCUUCGUCUCUAAUCUGAAUGUUCGGAGUUUCUCCUGGAUUGGUCUCACCUAUGUCCUCUUCUGUAGUUGGAUGAAUCUCAUCUUCAAAGGGAGUCAAGAACUCACCAUUUGAAAUUGAGCCAAAGUCAGAACCUAUUAAGGCUUCUUCCUUAUCCAUCCAUUCUACACAUUCUAGCCAUUUAGAACUUGUGAUCAAAAUAGGGGAGGUGUUAGAAUUUUCUAUAUGGCUUAGCUCUCCUUCUAUGGCAUUACUUGACAUGCCAUCCUUAUGGUCUUCAUGACUCCUAUGGUUUGGUCGUCUUGGUGAAUUGCUAGGAUCAUCAUGAGACUGAAAAGAAGAGGGAUAAGAGGGAUCUCUAAGGUCAAGGAUGGAUUUAGAACUUGUGAACAUGGAAGGGGAGUAGAUAGAAUUGUCUAUAUGGCUUAGCUCUCCUUCACUUGAUAUGUCAUCCUCGACUUCUUCAUGAUAGGAACCAGGACAUUCUCUAAGAGAAACAUUAUUGCAAUGAUUUGAAUUAUCCCUGCUUGAAGGUCUCUUAUAGAACCAGAAGUCUAAACCAUCAGCAUCUAAAAGAUUUGAGGUCGGAAUUCCUUCCUCCCUUGGAGAAUUUUGGGGUAUUGACGGUUUAGGAUCGAUAGCUAAAGUUUGGGAUUGAAGUGGUUGUGAUCUGGCUAUCGAAACUUCUUCUUCUUGUCUAGGAACUGGUUCUUUCUCUUUCUCAGGGAUAUAAAAGCUAGGAGACUUUCCGCUCAUUAAAUCAAUCAAAUUCCAAGCUUCACUAGCGGAUAGGUGGUGGAAAGAUCCUCCAGAGGCCGCAUGAAGGGUUUGCUUAUUUUUCCUACUAAGGCCCUCAAAAAAGUGAAUUAGAAGAACUUCUUCUGGAAUAGAAAGUUUUGGGCCAGUGAGAGUAAGGUUAAUAAAGCGGUCCCAUGAUUUGCCAAGAGAUUCUUCUUCCAGUUGUCUAAAAGAAAGAAUCUCACGCCGAAGUUCCACCACUUUGGAGAUUGGAAAAUAUUUAGAAAGAAAACUACUAUAUAACUCCUUCCAAUCUCCAUGAACACUCCCUACUUUGAGUUUAUACCAAUGUCUAGCUUUUCCCGUUAAAGAGAACGGAAAGAGCUUCCAUUUAAGGGUCUCAUCGGACAUGCCUUCUAUGCGAAGGAGGUCACAGACUCGAUAAAACUCUCUUAGGUGUGUGUAUGGGUUUUCCUCACCUUCUCCUGAGAAAGGUUGUUUUUGAAUAAAUUGUAUGUAUUCGGGGUCUAUCUCAAAACUAGAUGCUAUGAUAGGCUUUGAAGAUUUUGGUGGUUCGAGAUGUGUGCCCAUAGGUCUAUGAAAUUCAUAGAUAGACAUGUUUGAAUUCAUAAUAGACCAGAGAUCAAGGAUUAGAUAAGAAGAAAGAAUAGCAGAGAUGAGGCAAAGGAUAAAAGGAAAAUAUUUUUUUAUUUAUUUAUUUUUUAUAAAAUGAUUAAACUAGUUCGUAGUCAACUCAGCAACCGUUUCCCCGGCAACGGCGCCAAAAAUGCUUGUUGACACUUGCUAACACCACUUGAAUACUAGGUUGUCAUCCCCAGCAUGGCACUAGAGUGUACUAUGGUAUUUAUACGCACACAGAUAAUCCGCAAGCGCACGGAUACCGUUGAAGCUUUUACCCGGUUAAAGGUUUUAUCGUAUCCACAGGGAAACGGGAGAACCAACUACGCUCUAACUUAACCAAGAUAGAUAGAUAGGUGUAAAUAGGAAAGAUGAUAGAAUCGAAUAAGAACAAUAUUAAAGGUAAGAUAACAGUGAGUGAUAAUAUGGGAAUAGAGAGUAGAGCAAUUCUAGUAUAUGGGCGAUGUAGCAGAAUAGAGAGGAUAACUAUGGUUUCUCUACUUCAAAGGGGUAUGUCUAUGUCUGGGACGAACCACGUGAUAAGAGUACACCACAAAGGAUGCUUAUCCAUAGGCCGAUAAACCCUACCCGUCCUGCUAACGAGAGGUGGACUACAGGGGACCAACGUAACUGUCACCUACGCGGCCUACCACACGAUCCAGCUAGUCAGGGGAUAUCCACAAGUAAUCUAGGUCUAAGCACCACGCUUACACCUAUACUACAACUCUAACCUAUAGGGUCCUAUAGAUUAGAAGUACUCAAAAGAGUUGUGAACCAGAACAUACAUGAUUAGUAAUUGCAUGAUGAAUUAGAAGUAGAUUACCAGAGUCAUCCCAUGAGCAAGCUUGAUUAGAGCUUGAUCAUGGCGAAGUACAACCAGAGGAAGAACCGACACGCCGGCCUCUCCUCUAAUCCUCCUUCGCUCUCCAUCUCGCUACUAUCUAGAUCUACUCUAGUUUAGAGAAGAGAGGAGAGCUCUCAUCUCUAAACCCUAGCUUUUGCUCUGUCUAUGAAUAAUGAAUAAUGAUCAAGGGGUGUCUCCUCCAGGGGCCAGGGGGUCUGGUUUUAUAGUCCCCUCAAGUGAACCUGGGCCGUCGGAUCAAACCGACAUUGAUUGAACGGUUAUUCUUGAUCCUUUAGGUCGGUGGAGCAUAAUCCGCGAGAUUGAGCGUGAUUGGCCACAGGAGGUGGGCGGGCGCCCAGUAGGACAGGGCGGGCGCCCUGUCUCUGGCCCCGAUUCGCCUCCGCUUUGGUCUCGUGGCUUCUGGAGUCUUCUAGAUGUAAGAUAAUUGCGCGGCACGUUAAUAUCUUUACGUAAUCCCGACGUGUGGGCCUUUCUUCCUUAUUUCCUGAUAACCCCCUGCAGAAAUAGACAAACACCAAAACUCGUGGAAUUCUGUCAGAUAAAACCCUAAGUCUUGAUGUUGAUUUCAUUUGGAUCCUUUUCUUUGUUUAUUUGAUAGUUAAAUUUGAUACUUAAGGACCGUCAACAUAGAGCACCUAGAUUCAGAGUUGAUUAGGAAGGAAUUGUUUGGCACAAGGACCGAUUGUGUGUGCCUGAUAUUCAGAGAAUCAAGGAUGUGAUACUGAAGGAGUGCCAUGAGUCUGCUUACUCUAUUCAUCCAGGAGGUACUAAGAUGUAACAGGACUUGAAGCAAAAUUAUUGGUGGCGUGGUAUGAAGAAAGAUAUUGGUGAAUAUGUAGCAUUGUGUGACACUUGUCAAAGAGUGAAAGCGGAACUUCAGAGGCCAGCAGGAUUGUUGCAACCGUUGAAGAUACAUGAGUGGAAAUGGGAUGAGAUCAGCAUGGAAAUCAUAGUGGGAUUGCCUAUGUCUCAACGAGGUUAUGACUCUAUAUGGGUUGUAGUAGAUCGAUUGACCAAGGUAGCUCAUUUCAUACUGGUCAAGACUACCUACCGUGGAGGACAGUUAGCAGAAAAGUAUAUGGAACGGAUUGUGUGUCUGCAUGGAGUUCCUAAGAGGAUUGUGUCUGAUAGAGGUACACAGUUUACUUCAAAGUUUUGGGAGAAGCUACAUGAUGCAAUGGGAACAGAACUCAGAUUCAGUACAGCUUAUCACCCACAGUUCGAUGGUCAGACAGAGAUAGUCAACCAAAUAGUGGAGGAUAUGCUCAGGUCUUGUGCUUUGCAGUAUGGAGAUAGUUGGGAUACUAGUUUGCCCUAUGCUGAAUUCUCCUACAACAACAGUUAUCAGACUAGUCUUAAGAUGACUCAUUUUGAAGCCUUGUAUGGAAGGAAGUGUAGGACUCCAUUGUUCUGGAACCAGACUGGUGAAAGGCAAGUAUUCGGCGCUGAUUCAUUGAGAAUAGCUGAAGAAAAGGUUCAGUUCAUCCGACAGACUCUGAAAGCAGCUCAGUCGAGACGAAGGGAACUUGUGUUUCAGGCAGGUGAUUAUGUAUACCUGAAAGUGUCUCCGAUGAGAGGUCUAAAGAGGUUCAAUGUCAAGGAAAAGCUAGCUCCAAGAUAUUUUGGUCCUUUCAAGAUUUUGGAAAGGAAAGGAGAGAUGGCUUAUCAGCUUGAGUUGCCUGCUAGUUUAUCCAAUGUGCACAAUGUUUUCCAUGUCUCCCAAUUCAAGAAAUGCUUGAGAGUGCCUGAGGAACAGUUGCCACUAGAGGAACUGGAUUUACAGGAUGAUCUAACUUAUGAAGAGAGUCCUAUCAAAGUUCUAGAAACAGCAGAGAGAAUUACCACGAGUAAAACUAUCACGAUGUGUAAAGUACAAUGGAAACAUCAUUCUAAGGAAGAGGCAACCUGAGAAAGAGAAGAUGAUAUGAUAUCCAAAUACCCUCAGUUAUUCUCUGGUUCAGCCUAAUCUUGAGGACGAGAUUCUUUUAAGUGGGUAGGUUUAUAACACUCCAAAAUUUGAAUUUCAAAUUUUUGUUUAAAUUUGAUUUAAUUUUGGCUUAGUUUGAAUUUUUGGGAAGUAUUAAAUAAUUUACAAAAAUAAAUAAAACGAAAUAUAAGGUAGAAACAGGCUUGUGUGCAUUCAUGCUGCUGCAUAAUUUUUGCUUGAUUUUAAUUAUUUGCUGGUGCUUGAGUUAUUUUGUUUGGCAGCAAGAAAAGAAAAUAGGAAAACCUGUUUUGAAUAAAAAAAGGAAAAGAAAAGGGCAGCGCCCUGGGCCGUCCUCCCUCUUCCCCCGCCUUCUGCCCGCGUGGGCCAGCAGCCCAGCCAGCGCGCGCAAGCCCCCCCCCAGCCCGCAACGCGCCCCCGCUCGCCCCUGCCCUUUGCCGCCGCCACCCGCUGACGGGUGGGCCCCACCCGUCAGGGCCACCCCCAACCUCCCGUCCGAAACAGACGGGGCAGCCGCCUCUGCCUCGGCUUCCGAGAGCCCGCGCCCCGAGGUUCGCCUCUGGCCAUAAAUAGGCCUCAGCCUCGCCCGCACGCGUCCCUAGAAACCCUAGCCGCCGCGAAACCCUAGCCUGGCUCCCAUCUUGCCGAGUUCACGCCACCGCCAUCAACCUCGCCGCCGCCGCCGUCGGGCUUCUCUUCGCCGUCGUCGACUCGCGGAGGUGAGCCCUCCAUCGCGUUCGUCUCGCCGAGCCGCGUCCGCCCCGACCCUCGGAACGCGUUUUCGUGCACUGUAGCGCUGCCGCCGGGAGCUCCCAGUCCCCGCCCAUGGCGCCACUGCUCGCCGCGCCGCCCGACCACCUCGCCCGCUCCGGCGCACGGCCACCAUGGACCGCGGCUCUGCCCCCGCGCGGCCGGUCAACCAUGGACCCGGCCCAUGCCGCACCCGCGCCCCGCUCAGCCUCGGCCCCGGUCCACCAUGAACCGGUGGACCCCGCGCCCCCUCGGUCCACAGCACACCACCGUGGACCGGCCAACCGCCCGCUGCCACGUGGCCAGACCGGCCACCGCCCCGUGAGCCCCUGCACUUUUUGCGAAAAGGCCCCUGGGUUUCUUCAAAAUCAACCCGCGGUCCUGCGCAGUUUUAAUUCAUUUAAUUUUAGCCCCUGGUUUUUGCAGAAAAAACCCCGUAGCCGUUGGUUUUUAUAGUUUUAAUCCAAAAUGCUUUUUAAUUCAGUUUUAAUUAAUUUCAUUUACGAAAAAAAGUUUAGCUAAUCUACAGAAUUGCCAUCCAACUUGUUUUAGCCAUAACUUUUGCGUCGUAACUCCGAUUUAGGUGAUUCUGGUCGCUAUAGUUUCGUAUCGUCGAGUAGAAUACAUUAGUACAAUUGUUUUAUGCUUUUGAAUGCUUUGGUGUACUGUUUCUGAUUAAGCUUGUUUGCUUGCAUGUAUUGCUUCGUUUGCUUGAAGAUUGUCGCGUAUAGCCAACGAGACGUACGUGAAGGAAGAGGAUCAGGAUCCCGCUGAGUUCGAGCAACCCGACAACGAUCAAGGCAAGUGCAGACACCGUUUGAUCAUUUUGAACCUACUCAUUAAUGUCAUUUACUUUAUAUGCAUGUGUCCAAUGAAUGCAAACCCUAAGGACAUGACUAGCCUUACUUACCACUCCUUGUUCACCUAGGGUUAUGUAUAUGGGUAUACUAGGUUAUAUUAGGUUCGCUUAGCUGCUCUACUCAUCUUAUACACAUGCCUAAACAAGUAAUAAUCUCUACUUAACUUGAUGCUUAAACUGUGCUGAACCUUUGGUCACCGCGGUGAUGGCGAAGUUGGAUGCUUACGAGCAUCGUGAUGAUGGUGGUGACAGGGGGAGCGGCUACUGUUGGUGGUCCGGUUUGCCGGGCGUACCCGUCUCUGCUCUCCGUAAGGACUUAGUCAGGGAGCGGCCCCCUGGGACAUAGCUAUAUGGCUCUGGCUUGACUAAUUAGCAGGACCUCCACUAGUAGGGUGUUACUUUCCGGGUAGGCGUGAGGAAGUAACUUGGGUAAUGUAUAUUAAGACAUCGAUUGCUCGGUACGCCAUGGCUAUGGGUAUCGACUGUCUGGUGCCCCGGCAAAAACUUGCGAGUGGCAUCCUAUUAGUUGGACCUUGCUCACCAUGGCAGUGUUUUGGGGAGUCAUGACCCCGGGUAAAUGGGAAUCACGACUUGGAGUGAACGUGCACACCUCUGUAGAGUGUAAAACUGAUAUAUCAGCCGUGCUCACGGUCACGAGCGGCCCAUACCCUCACUUGAUGAGCAAAUUGGAUUCACUGGAUACUUGGAGAUGGAACUUGGUGAGGUUGCUACCUUGUGUUUUGGCGGAAUGGCUAUUCCGUGUUGGCAGGAUUGCCAUCCUGUGUUAAUAAUUGGGGUUAAUCCCUGGACUACUAUAAUUAUUAGGAUAGUCAUUUAAAAGAUGCUAAUUAGUACUUACACUAAUAAAGGGUUGGGUUUAUGCUACUCAUAAUUAGUAGUAGGUUGUUCUAAUAAUAGUCAUAAUUAAAAGUGAUCAACUAAAAUGCUACCGCAGUCAAACCAAGUCAGCUUUACCUUGUUUUAAGCCUUGCAUGUCAUUACUUUCCGUUUGUGCUUGCUGAGUUCGACAUGAGCUCACCCUUGCUAUAAUAAUUAAAGGUUGCUCGGACGAUCAGGAGUACAAUUGCGAUUUCCCUGAGGACUACCCUGAGUCGCCUGGUUGUUAGGCUCGUGUGGUUCUGUCGUCGACCUUCCUGUGGCAAGGUGGUCCUGCUACGUCGGCGUCUAGUUUCCCUUUUCUUUAUGGAACAAUUUAGCUUAUGCUUCCCUUUCGCACUUUGAUAUACUUUUGGCUUGUAAUAAUGGUACUAUUACUCUCAUUUAUGUAAUACGUUUGAACACUGUGUUUUGUACCAUUGAUGAUGUCGAUCCAUGUGUGUGAAUUUGAGAUCCUCGCGCACAUGUGACUUGGCACCCGAAUGCUCUUUUACAUCCGGGUGUGACAGCAGUGGGCGACAAAGUGGUCGGGAUCUCUAUAGUUGUAGCACCCCACCUUUUGAUCACCGCCCCGGUGACGAUUCAAGCAGUUGUUGUGAAACUACGAGAAUUGGCCAAUGAUCAAUGCCAACUCGUCAUCCCCAAGGGCCUCCAACUGCUCCUCCAGGACAGACACCAAAGAAGACAAGGCAAAUGACAUCUAUGAAGGGUUUGCUGAAGAAUUUGAAUCGUUACCUAAGACCAAAUGCAUAGUCAGUGCGGAGGGAAUCUUGAGCUUGGCUUGGGUCUGGUAGUCGAUCUCGGUGGACUUAAGCGUGCUGAAAAGCUCGUCCAUGGUGAUGGUGUCAUAGUUUGAGGACUUGAUGAUGGCGGACACCUUCACAUAUCAUACCUUCCAAUCUAGAGCAUAUAAAAGCUUGAGAGCCCUCUCAUGAUCGUCAUAAGGUCACUAAGUCUUGUUUGCUUGCAUCUUGUUAAUGAUCGUCUAAAAGCGAGAAAUGGCAUCAAUGGACUCGCCAUUAAGUUGAGUGAAGUUCUCGUACUCUCUCUUGUACGUCUCAUAGAGUCUGGUUUUGACAUGGGUUGUACCCUUGUGAUAGCUCUGAAACCUCACCCAGAUCUCUCGAGCAGUAGUACAAUUAAAGAUACACUCGAACUUAGGAAGCGAAAGACAUGACAAAAGAAUAGCUCUUGCUCUGCUAUUCAUGUUGUGACGAUCUUUUUGAUCUUGCAUGACUCGAGUAUGGGGUUCAAGCACAACAUAGGUAGCAUCGUCGCAAUUUUCCCAAAUAAGAUAGUCAAUCCCCUAGAGAUGCGCAGAAUUUGUUCCAUCAAAGAACGAUGGAUUGCCGGAACCACACUCCAUAUCGCCUUCGUGGAUCACGGACCGAUUAAGGUGGAAUGAUCCUUAACCAGCUCUGAUACCAAUUGAAGGACAAAAAAUGGUGACCAGAGAUGGGGUCAAUGGGAGCCGUAGUUUUUUUCCAAAAUAUUUUUAGCCACUGUCUCAAAUCACCACUAAACACAAGCGAGUACCCAAAACUAAAUUACUCAAGCCAACUAAUGAAAAAGCACUUAGAUAAAAUGCUCACAACGGUAGAAGAUCAACGCAACAGACGAAACACGAAUUAGAGCACAAACGACUAAGUUGUGGACGAAACAAGAAAUCAGAGCCUAAAAAAUGGACAAAAAAGCCUUAAAAAUUCAAGCUUGAAGAGCACAAAUAAGCACAAGACUGCAAACAUGUAUUGACACACACACUGUAAUCAACAACUGAGCAAACACUACUAAGCCAAAGAUUGCUUGAAUGAAACAAGUCCAAAAGCUUAGGAUUUAGUUCACUUGAGUUGCUGCUCCUGCUCUUGGUGCUCUGUAGGCACAAGCUCCUGGACUAGCACCUAGGGAUGUAAACGGAUCGGAUACAGAUGGAUAUUACUGAUAACAUAUUUGUUUUUAUAUUCCUGGUCGGCGAAUGCGGAUAAUGUCAACCAUGUCGGAUAAGGUAGGAUUAGAUGUCGACAUCAUAAAUAUACAAUUUAAAUAUUCGGAUAAGGAUACAGUAUCAGAUGUUGAAUAUUCGGAUUCAGAUACGAACAAAUCUAAAUGCCUGUAAAAGAAUUCGUACCGUUUUCAUCCCUGCUAGCACCGAUUGGUGCUCGGAGAGCGUUGGUGCUGAGCACCUGCUGCUGGGAGCUGAGCGUCCCCUGCAGUGCACACGGACCGAGAACAAGGGAAGGCACGGACGUGGGUCUGCACACGAUGAACAAACAAGAACGGGUGGAGAGAAACAGGGUCUGCUCACCGCCGGGAGCGCUUCGGCGCUGGUGACACAGAAAGAUCAGGCGAACGGCAGAAAGAUCAAGGAAAGGAAACAGGGAGCGGAUGUAGCUGCUUGGCCCAUAGUCAAAUCCCACUCUGAGUCAGCUCGCACAGCGCCUAAGCAACAGGGUUGUAGCGCUACCGCUGGUCUCGGCUCGAUGUGAAAAACGCAUGAACAGAGCACGAGGACCAGCGAGCACCAGAAAAGGAUAAAAAAUCUCAACGAGAUGCUCCCAAAUCAAAAUCGAUCAAAAACUCAACGAGAUGCUCCCAAACUUUGCACAGGUGAAAUUCAUCAGACCACAAAUCUAGUCCUUAAAAAUCAUUGCACGGGACAGCUCCGAACCUUGGAAAUCAGGAUCUUAACCAAGACCAAAAAGGGGGAAAAACUCAAGAACGCAGUGAACAAAAAUCAAAGAUUCAAUUGAAAAAACUUGGAGUACAAGUGGAGGAUUCGGGCCUCCAUUCUCACUCCAAAAUCACAUAAAAAAUACCACGAAUUUUUUUAGUUUAUGAGACCUCUCUAGAACACAUAAAACCUAACCCUAGGUGAAAGGGAGGGAAUGAGAGAAUGGAAGAGGUGAGAUGGCUUAGGGCUGCCACCUCUUAUUUAUGGGCCUAUUACAUAUUCUCUAUUUUCACUUGGUAAUUUAAAGCGAACCAGCUAGCCACAAGGCAUUCUAGUCAAACCUGACAUAGUUUUCAUCUGCCGGCCACCACGCUCUUCAUGAGGUAGCUUCGCAUCGACACAAACUCUUACAUGCCACCACGUGUUGUCCAUUCUUCCGCAGAACCUCUGCCCGGGUUUUGAGGCCCGAACCUGCGAAACCCGCCAUCGAUGGUUUUGAUGCCCAAACCACCAAACCGGACGCGAGUAGCGUACUUCAUACGCGUCCCCCAGCUCGACACGUGUCACCGCCGUCCUCGACCGGCCGGCCCACCAAGUCUUCCUGAGCCUCGCUCGACUCGCACAUCUGUCGUCUUGACUUAGUCAACACGGUCACUCACAUGUACACUUGCAUUUAUCUAUGUCUCAUAUGUCAGCCACUACGGCUGGUCACCCGGCCUCCUGGUCCGUCAGUCCAAACCUCAAGUCCGCCCUUCACCGCUCCGGGUCCAUCGGCACGGCAUUUCUCUACUUGACCUUCACCUCACCGUUGACCAUCGCCUCUGACCUCAACACCUGGACACCACAAGACAAGAGACAUGUUGCACACCCAACUCACGCCAUGGUUAGGUAACACACUCAACCUCGGUUGUGGAUCACUUUAUUAAUCACUCAUCACAAAUCGAACCAUAAGAGCACAUUUUUAACCUGGUAUUCACACAAUGCUUCCUCAAGUGAAUAUGAUGAUGAAAAGACACCUUCCAAAUCACUUCGCUAUCAACAAGAAGCCCUCUCUAUUUGACACUAUCGCACAUAUUCACCACGAUUACCUAGCAUCUAUUCACUAGGGUCACCACAGGAACAUGUGCUUGCUAGGUGCCUCUCGACCCUCCAUAUGAAAUUAGUGUUUACGUUACCUACUAAUUAGGGCAUCCAGAGUGUGGAAAUUUGAUCGGCUUUAAAAACAAUGCCACAUUUUUUACUUCACCGUUAAAUGUCACAGGAUUGAGUUUAGGCGCAAAAAGCGUGUGCUGAGUCUCAAGCUUGAGACCCAACAUUACCAAACAAUUAACAAAAAAACUGAGCCACUAGACUGCAAUGCAAGCAAGUGGUUGCUGCCGUCUACAUGCCCCACGAGGGCCGAGAAGAGAGGGAACACGGAACAAGCAGAUGAUUGACAGCGACAAGAACCACACACCUUCCUGAUGCCCUUAACCUUUAGAGAACAGGCUGGGAUGGGGCAUUCAGUACUGUAAUUGGCUAAUUUCGAAACUUUGCAAUAUGCAAUUGAGAACACAUUCUGUUUCGUAGUGUCAACUCUCCUUUUCGUGACCGAGGUUCAGAAAACGUGGAGCUCAUAGCCACGUCGUUUAGUUUUUACUUACAGGCUUCCCCAAUGUCAACCGCUACAAUCCUAGCCCCAGGGAAUCGAACAGCAUGCAACCAUCCCACAUCACAUACAAUUCCCACAAAUAGAAACUAUAUAUUUGGCCAUGAUUACCACUUGAUCACUAGAAAUUACGGCCUGCCUGAUUAAUUUCUGGAGCAAAUCAAUGCAAGGCCACCGUAACCAGCAUUCAAGCUUUACUUACAGGCUUCCCCCGUAAUUAGAUAAAUACUCCAUAUAUUAUAACAUUAAGUUGCAAAGAGAAACACCAAAAGUGCUUGCCACGGCGUAACUGUUUUUCCAUGUCAACAGCUCACAGCUACUUCCUGCAUCUUAAGGGACAAGGUUUCCUAGCCCCAUCACUCCAGCCUCCUGCACAUUCUGCGAUUUCUGCAACAAGUACACAGUUUCAGAUUACAUAUAUAGAAAAAGUCGUCAGGGCUUCUUUAUGUGUUUCUCUAGAAAAAAGAAAAACAAUUCAAUUUCUACUAGGCUGCAAGCUGCAUUGACACAGUAUGUCAGCACAGUUCGCUCAAAGUUACUACCAACAAUCACCGAGUUCAUCCUAAUAUAAAGCAAACCAAUGGUUGUAGUAUUUGCUUGUAAGUUCCGACGCUAAUAAAAUUCAAAGAGUGAAAAUGAACUGUGGGCCCCUAAACUUUUCCCAUAUUCACAUAUGGGUCCAAAACUCUCAAAUUGAUUAUCUAGGGCCUUCAAUUUUUCAAGUGGUUCAUUCAAAGUGGGAACUUAGGUACAUGACUGGAGCUAGAGUGAACUUAGAAUGAACUAUUUGGAAAGUUCAAAUGAACCUAGAUGAGCAUAUUGGAAAAGUUUAAGGACUCAACCGUGCAUUUGACUGAAAUUCAAAUAUUACUAUGAUGGCUAUACAAGAAUAUGCAAAACAAACAUACUCCCGCAUUUCAUGGGAAGUAAUUCGGUGUACAUAUAAUAUAGGGUAAUGAUCCGAUAAUAUGCACAACAAAAACAUUUUUUUGCUUUAUUUCAUAAAAAAACACUUCAAUACUAAGUCACCGGAGUCCAUGAAUUUAUAAACAAAUCAUUAACACUCAUUAUCAAGAAUAUCAGUAUAGUUGGUUUAAGGUUAAAAGCAAACUAUUAGACAGGGUCCCAACAACCUAAUUCUGUAUUUCAACAUACUCUCCUAUACUCUUGCUCUAACCCUCCAUUGUUGAUCAGCCUAGAAACCCUUGCUGUUCUCAUGGACAGAGUUGUCCCAAGGGAAAAUGAAACCAUAAGAAAAAAAUGAUCAAAUAUAGAUUUUUCUAGAGCAAAGGAGUGUACCAACCCAGGUCCAAUUACUGAAUGCUGCUUUUCCCUUUUAUCACUUGAUUUUUAUUUUUAUUUUUGGCCACUGCAUAGGUUUUAGGCCCAUGUUUAAAUUAGAGAAAACAGUAGCCAAUGGGGAAAAAGAAGAAUGAAAAAUAGAUAAGAAAUUAUCCAAGAACACCAAUGAUAAAAAGGAAAACUUCCCAGCUUCAAAAUGAAAGCAAAAUACAGCAUCAGGUUAACCCAUCCGUAGAGAAAAAAGGCACAUUGCCAGGCUAGGCUCCAAAGAAUACUAGGGCAGUACAAAGCACUGCAUAAACACACACCCCCCCCCCCCCCACCCACACACCUAAUGGCCUUUGGCAAGGAUAUCCCAGAACCACCAUAUAUAGAAAACUGGUUUGCCCUCAUGGCAGUAAAAUGAGGAAUGCAAAACAUCAAAACAGCUCAAGUAGAAAUGACAAUGGAAUUAUCAAAGCAAGUUCCUCUACCGAUACUCACGUAGCCAUGUCUGCCAGUAAAGCUCUAAUACAGAUUGCAUUGUAUACAUAUGGAAUAAGUAGGACACAUCUCAACAUAUUUCAAUUUCAAUAUAGAUCGUGGGUUUAACUAUCUAGACUUGCACGCACAUUUCCGAUCUCGAGAAGAGCUAAGUAACACUUCUAUAAAGUUCCUAGUUCUUUCCUAUUGGAAUACUUAAGCAAACAACUGCUCCCUCCAUCCUGAAAUAUAAGGUUUCGAAUCAUUCAAAAUUUGCCUCAAAUUACAAGGGAUUCUAGUGAAUUUAACUCUCCUAGGCACCAGUUACAUGCCUACCAACCAUUAAUGUCUGUUGUCAACCCAACCACCAAGCUCGAAAUAUGGUAAGCACAGUAUCUCCCUACUCUUAAAGAAGUUAAAUGCUUCAUCUACUUUACCCAUAAAAUGUCUUAGAAUCCUAGGAUACCUUAUACUUCAGGACAGAGGGAGUAUAUAAGGAUUAUGAAGAGGAUCAGCAUUAAAUUUUACUGUAACUGCAAUGCUUGUGUUACUGCCACAAUUGACAUCACACAAAGAGAAAUAAAAGCUUACAGCAUAAUGUAGCUCAUAAGUAAUGGAUAGCCCCUUGUGGGAGACUCCUACCUGAAUUGACGGUAACUCAAAACAGACAUAAUUCCAAUAAUCAACUAACUUGUGAUCUUUUGGAACCACUUCAUUAGCCCUUCCAGCACAAAAGAUAGCGUAAGCAUCAGCCGCAUACCUAGAGUAAGAGGCAACAUUCAAAUUAAUGACUCGACAGGGCAAAAAACAGCAUUCUACGAAUAGUCCACAUACACAGAAAAGUUUAGUGGGGGUGGGGGUAGGAGGGGGGGCCACUCACUUGCCAACACCACAAAGCUCAGUGAUAUAGGUCCAUUCUUCUCCAACAUAAGCCUUAGAGAAUUUCUGGAUUCUCUUUGUUUUCACACGCUGAAAUCCAAGAGGUGCUAGAUACUCUGCCAUCUUUUUGGGAUCAGCUCUAUAUGCAGUCUGAGGAUCAGGAUAGCGCUCGAAGAAGCCAUUCACUUUCUUCUCGACCUGCAGCAGUAAACAAAGAAAAUUCAACCCUUAAACCCAAAGAAUGAAUGUUCCACCAGAGCAACAGCAAACACGGGAAUAGCCUUGGUAAUGAUAAAUGCAAAUGCGAAACAAGCAUAAGCAUCAGGGUAAUAAAUAGUCUUCGUAAAAAUAAACAAAUGUGAAACGCCUACCUGAGCCAGUGUUACACUUAAAAUGCAAAACAAACUAGCCUGUUUCAGGGCUGUAGUAUAAUAAUCCAUAGAGGAUUGGACCCAAACAUGCAUGAACAACGUAUCUAUAACAAGUGGUCCACUGUUCAAAUUUGUUUGUCAAUCCUAUGCGCACUGUGCAAACAUAUAAUCGAUCAUCUUGUAUCAAAGAAAGAAGUAGACACAGACAACCAUUAUUAAACCACUCAAUUAUCAUGGAAAUAAAAGGUAAGUUAGUCUCUUUCUCUUUGACAAUCAUGAAAACUGUUCUGAUGAAUCAAGCAGCCGACUAUGAAUCUAGAUAAUUGUUUGGUCAAGUAACAUUCACAGAGAUGACACAAAGUAGAAAGAAUUGAACAGCUCACCUGUUUUCCCUGUGUUAAGUUGAGGAGCAUGCAUAUUACAAUGACCUUCCAGGGGUCAGAAGCAUAAUUCUCCUGCAAUAGCUUAUGGGGGGAGCACGGUGGGGGCACCAGCUGAUCCAGCGGCAGGCGACGGUAUUUAUCGGAACGCUUCUCGGCAGCACUAAGUAAUGGCGAUUUCCGCCUUGGCUUUUUCUCCAUUGUCAUCAUCUUCUCAGGCUUCUCGAUCCCUUUGACCCUUAUCCCUUCUUGUGACCCUGAGGUUGAUGCUGAGGCUGGGCAUGGUUGCAUAGUGUUCGAGGUUGUUGUCCUAGCAGCCUUGGAGGACUCUUUUGCAGUAAGCAGAGAAGACCUAGAUGACGGGUGGCCUCGAGGAGGCAGCCUCGCUGGGCGAUCAGCGGUAUUAGGAAGUGGCAGACCACUGCCAUCUUUCCGGCGAUCAGGUUUGUAGGCGAAUUGGGCAAAGAAUGCACCAAAAGGUGAGGAAUAAUUGGGGUCCUGAUCAGUGAAAUUGGGAUCGGCCAUGGGAGGGAAAAAGCCUUGGGGCAGUGGCUGCUGCUUCUUCAAGACCUGGGACUUCUUGCUGCUGCUCCUCUUAACACACUGACUGCCCAUGAUGCCGCCAGCAGCAGCAGCUUCCUCCCCUGCCUGUGGAUGGACAUCAAUGGGAAGUGGUAGCUGGCCAAAUUGCUCGUGCUCCACCUUCGGCUGCCUAUGCUUCUUCCUCAACGUCACCCCCUCUGCCGUCACCUUGCUUUCCCUCUGCAAGAUUUGGGCCAUAGCAGCAGUGGGCGGUGAUGGAAUCACCACUGCAGCCUCCCCAUUCUUCCUUUUCUUGUGCUUCUUUUCCUCCUUCCACACAGGCUCCUCCAUUAAUGGAGAUGCCGGCAGCGCCUCCUGAUUCUUCCUCUCACGUUCCUUAACCCCCACUAUCAUCUCCACCGAGGUUAGGGUUUCAGGAGUGACUGGGACCGGGGAAUCAGACAUGUAUUCUGGGUUUGCCAGAGGACAGGGAGAAUCCCUCAACGCUAUCUCCCUUGUCAUCUUAACCUUGGGCUUUUCCUUCUGUUUGAUCCUUACCUCUUCUUGUGAACCUGAGGUUGAUGCUGAGGCUGGGCAUGGUUGCUUGGUGUUCGAGGUGGUUGUCCUAGCAGCCUUGGAGGUCACUUUUGCAGUGAGCAGAGAAGACCCAGGUGAUGGGUGGCCUUGAGGAGGCAGCCUCGCAGCGCGAUCAACAGUAUUAGGAAGUGGCGGACCACUGCCAUCUUUCCGGCGAUCAGGUUUGUAGGCGAAUUGGGCAAAGAAUGCACCAAAAGGUGAGGAAUAAUUGGGGUCCUGAUCAGUGAAAUUGGGAUCAGCCGUGGGAGGAAAAAAGCCUUGGGGCAGUGGCUGCUGCUUCUUCAAGACCUGGGACUUCUUGCUGCUGCUCCUCUUGACACACUGACUGCCCAUGAUGCCACCACAAGCAGCAGCAGCUUCUUCCCCUGCCUGUGGAUGGACAUCAACAGGAAAUGGUGGCUGCCUGGAUUGCUCGUGCUCCACCAUCCGCCGUCUCUGCUUCUUCCUCACCGCCGCCAUCACCUUGCUUUCCAUCUGCAAGUUUUGGGCCGCAGCAGGAGUGGGCGUCGAUGGAAUCACCACUGCAGCCUCCCCAUGUUUCCUUUUCUUGCGCCUCUUUUCCUCCUUGCCCACGGACUCCUCCAUUAAUGGACAUGCCGGCGGUGCCACCUGAUUCUUCCUCUCGCGCUCCUUAACCAGACUCACUGCAGCCGCCGCCACCAUCACCACCGAGGUUAGGCUUUCGGUAGCGACUGGUACCGGGGACUCGGACUUGGAUUCCGGGUUUGCAGGAGGUCGGGGAGACUCCCCCGCCGCCGCCAUCCCAGCCGAUGCUAGGGUUUCGGGAGCGACUGGGACUGUGGACUCGCGCUUGGAUUCCGGUGUUGUCGGAGGUCGAGGAGCCUUCCAGGAAGCCGCUAUUGCCUCCUCCUGCUCCCUGUGCUUCUUCCUCCUCCGCUUCUUCUGCCGUGACGCCUCCAAAUCCUCUGCCGGCGCCGACAUAGCGCACGGCGGCGAUAACGACCAGGCGGGGGAUCGAGACGGGGACCGCCUCGGCACUCGCACUACACCACAGCCUCAGAAUAGCGGCAGUGUUGGGCGGUGCCGGAGAAGUUGAGCGGCGGCGGCGGAGUUGGAUGGUGGAGUUGGGCGGGCGUGCGCAGAGAGGAGGCCGCGGGACCUGCGACGGACCGGCUGGGCAGGCAGCCGCAGUGGGGAGGCGGCGGGACCUGCGAUGGAUCCGGGCGGGCGGGCGCAGAGAGCAGGCGGCGGCGGCAACAACUGAGCUCAGGCCGGCUGAAGACAAAGGGGCAGGGAGUUCGAUACAACAAAGACAAAAAUACCCUGCGAUUCCUUGCUCACGUCUGUUGAGAGUGCGCGCAAACAGGAACGGCAGCGCGCCAAAAGAUUAGCAGCUCGCGCCAAAAGAUUAGCAGCUCGCGCCAAAAGAUUAGCAGCUCGCGCCAAAAAUCCAUGGCAGCGCAGGUUUCGGUUGUCGUGGAUUCAGGUUUGAGAAUGAUUUUUCCUUUUCAGGUUCGGAGCCCCAAAACUAUUGCGUUCGGUUUCACGUUUGAGUUUUUAUCAGAUGGAUAUCCGAAAUAAGUCAUUAGAAUUAAAUUUUAUAUUUUAUAAUAUGAUAAUAAUAACUUGUUUACUUAGAUUAUUAAUUUAUUUUAAGCUAACACAUGAAAAUAUUUUUUUAUUACCUCUUAUUUAUACAUGUAAAUAUGUGUAUAUAUAUCAUGAAUAUGUUUAUAAAAAGUCUUUAUUGUUAUUAGGCCCUGUUUAGAUUUGAGAUGAAAAUUUUUUAGGUGUCACAUUGGAUGUGUCGGAAGGACGUCGGGAGAGGUUUUUAGAAACUAAUAAAAAACAAAUUACAUAGCUCAUCUGGAAACUGAAAGACAAAUCUAUUAAGCAUAAUUAAUCUGUCAUUAGCACAUGUGGGUUACUGUAGCACUUAAGGCUAAUCAUAGACUAACUAGGCUUAAAAGAUUCGUCUUGCGAUUUUCAACCAAACUGUGUAAUUGGUUUAUUUUUUUAUCUACAUUUAAUGUUACAUGCAUGUGUCUAAAGAUUCGAUGGAAUGAAUGGACUUUUUUUAGAUGGGGAACUAAACAGGGCCUUAUUAUGUUGAUGUAGAAAGCGGGUUUUAGGUAUCCAUUCGGGUUUCGCAUAUCCGCGGGUUUGGUUUUGGGAUGGGUUAUCACCCGAAUCGGUGUUCGGUGCGGUUUCGGGUUUUGAUUUCGGAUUUCGGGUUCGGGUGUAUAGAGACUUCAUCUGAUCCGAAUUCGCCCCGUUGCCAUCCUUACUCCCACUCCUGCAACAAGUCCUCAUAAAGCUCCACAAAAGCAGUAAUAAGAACGUUGUGUUCUUGAUCUCUUUGGUUGAGGAAAUCCACCAAUUGCCGACAAUCUAAUAAGAACGUUGUGUUGUUGAAGUUGAGAUUGUCAUUCACCAUGGCAGCAAGGGCUAAGGCAGCCGCUUCUGCCAUGAGUACCGAUUGAACUCUUGAUACCUGCGCUUUGAUGUAUAUGGUUUGCACCGGUUGUACCUGCGUGUUAAAAAAGAGGAUUCCCAGACCAGCCAUCCUUGGCUGUAAAGAUGAGUCAUGAGGAAUUGUAGAUGCAUGAACAUAGCAUCUGACUCUCUUGGGAAGUGUCGCCGGCACCGUGUACCUAUAUAACUACAAGUUGAUAUGCUCUUGGGAGUGAUUGUUGGUCUGGUUCAUGCCUGUUGCAAAAGUUGUCAUACCUGAAAAUAUUUGGUUGGAGUCCUGUUGGGUAGGCGGCGUUGUUCGUGUUAGAGAGCCUCCAGUUCAUAUCUGUUCACACACGAACACGUCACCGUAUGCCCCCGACGAUGAGCACGACUGCGGAUGAGCCUCGCCGUGAGCGCGAUACGCAAGACACGUCGGCAAGGUCUUCUGAAACCCCACACGCCCGUGAAACCCCACACGCCCGAGAAUAACUCCGUCAGGGCGCGUGGCAGCUAUGGGCUGCCCUAGCCAGCCUGACUGCUCUAGGGCUUCGCCAUUGUUGAAGCAAUGAACAUCGUCGACAACGGAGAACGAAAAGAAAUAGUAGAUUGAAUAAUAAGAUAAAAGAUAAAAGAUAGAUGUAUUUUGAUAUAUUCGAUUGUCUGUGUCAAUCGGCCGUCACCCCUUAUAUAUUUGUAGGGUGGUUGGUCUUUCCUUUAUCCAAAUACAUGCUAGGCUAUUGUCGUAUAAUACCCAUAUACAUAACAGGCUCCUAUGCGGCUAUGUUGAUGCCAAUCUUGCAUUACACAGUACAAGCCAUAGAGCAACUCCAACAGGUUGGCUAAAAUUAACUAGUCAAAUUUUAUUGUUUAGCCAUUUUGUAAAAUAGAAAAUUUGUUUAAAAAAAAGAUCCACAAUAGUCUUGUUAUUUUACAAAAUCAGGUAUCCAGCGUCUGUGGUUGGCUAUAUAUGGCCACCAAAAAUUAAGGAAUGGCUAGCUUGCUAUUUUAUAAAAUCAGAUAGCAUAUUUGUUGGAGCUUACUUUUUACUAUACAAAUGCUAAAAUAGCCUAUACAAUAAAAAUAGUCAAGUUGUUGGAGUUGCUCUAAUGAAGCAACUACACAUACAAGUCCUUUCCAUGUACGUGCAUGUUCUCCUCCAUCUUAGCUUCUGUCUGUUGUAAAACAUACGGAGUGUAUGUGAGCUCUUACCAAAACUCUUAAACCUUGGCAGGACUAUAUAUACGUGGGAGCUCUAUGUUGUAAUUACCAAUAUAUUGAGAGGAAUAAAAAAUAGUCUCCCUAUCUUGUGUCUAUUUGUUCUUCUACUUUCAUCUACUAUGUUGAUCAUGAAAGACGUUUAGGGAAAGGUCCCAACCGCUGGCAACAUGUUUUAUAACACGUUAUCAGCACGACAAGCUCUACGUCGACAUCACCGUUGAAGCCGCCGCCGACCUUCGACGCCGACGUUCAUGCCGUCGACGUCGCGGACAUGACUACUUCGACGACGACAUCGACAUCCCGAUGUUGUUAGUGGAACGGAUCUGCUACCUCUACCUGCUACAGAUCUGCACUACAUCAACUGUCAUCUUUUCUGUCAAGCAGGGAGUUCUACGACAAUGUCAAACGCUCUACGCGAUAUGUAUCUACUAACCACUAUCCUACGCGACAUGUGAGGUAGAUCAAAUUGACAUCCUUUAAAAGGUAUGAAAUACGUCUUGUAGAUUGUUUUGCACCGGCCAUCAAGCUGGAUUAAUCUCUACUCGAAGUUUGCAUGAGUAGCUAGAAACCCUGUUUUUCCAAAUCGAGCUAGAAUACAUAAAUUAGAUGGGAGAUCAUGACAUCAGACUAAAAGUCUACGGUGCAUUAAUUAGCAAGUAAAGGAAGCUAAAUAGCAUGCAUAUGCAUGUGUAUGAAUUUUGCGUGUGCGUGUAUAUAUAAUUAAAACAUGUCAAUGGACUGCGGAUGGAUAUAGCUACCGUAUUAGCUUUCUCCAAUGAACGUGUGCAAGUUCACCAUUGAUCACUCGUACAAUUACAUUGUAUCAGUCAUGAGUUUGACAUGCAAUCAAUACCAUCUAUGCAAGUUCCAUCAUCUUGACUUUACUUAUAAUUCGAGUUGCACUCGCACGUGCCUUAUCCUUUGCUUGCUGGUACUUAACAUGUAGUCAUUGCGGCAAGUACAGAAUAUUGUAUUCUCGCUGGCCUGAAGUCUAGGCACCAUCGGGGCAUGCAUUGAAUCAGAUUGAAUCUUGUUGCAUCUGCAAUUCCCUCUAUAAACUCGGACUCCUUACAAGCUCUACUAUUUUUUUGAAUUGUUGCAUCUUUUGACAAACUUGUAGCUCCCUGCAACUUCGUACCACUAUAUGCUAGAAGCAUUGGAACAGACUAAAAAAUUAAGAAUGUGACAAAGACAGGGCCCAUAGUCCCUCUCAUCUUAAAAAGGAUGCAUCAGUUUUGGAAUUUCUAGAAGAAAAAUAUAUUCCUAUCUUGACAGUAAAUUCUAUACGCUUAUUUUUAGUUUAUAUAUAGCGUAUGUGUGCUGAUAUUUUUAUGCUAUUUUGAAUGCAUUUAUUUAUCACACAUUAUGAAUAUACCAUGUCAUAACAAGUGUAAAGCAUUGAAUGAUUACAUUAGAAACAUGGUAUAUGGUAUAUGGGCUCUCUAAAUCCUGCAGACCUUAGACUUAUCACCUUUAAUAGGCUCAUAUUUAUUUUUCUAGCAUAAUGAAUUUUGGGAUGAAUGAAUGGUUGAUAUUAAUUCUAAAAAUUUAUAUUUAUACCAUAAUCCUGAAAAAUGCUAGGAUAUUUCUAAGAAUAUUUUGUAUAACCAUCCACUAUCUUUUUGUACCUUGCUACUUGUUUACAUGUAGUAAACUUAUAUGCACAUAAUGAUUCCAAUUAUAAUAAUGUCGAGGAUAUCACUAAGGGGUACCCUAACUGAUGUACAUAGCGAGAGCAUCCAUACGAAAGUCGAGGCCUCCGACUCGACGCCCCUCCCCAGUUGUACGCACGGUCCUCGACAAUCGUAGCCACGAACACGGAAAGAACGUCCUGCGAAUCGACUAAGGCUCGAGCGCCGGCUACCGUCGAAUACGAAAACAGGCUCUUACGAAUCGAAAGGCCUCGAGCGCAAGGACGCCGGCCGCCGCCUGACGUGGGCACGGGAACCAGGGCAUUUAAUGCGCCUGCCUCGUUCUCACCUAACCCGUCAGUCACGGGAAGCGUGAUAGGGAACAAGCACCCGUCCUGUCGUUCUUUUCGCAGCCUUCCCCACCAAACAAGCCAGAACGUGGCAGGGCGCAGGGAGUGGGUCGGAACGUCCAGUCAAGACCCCCCUCGAGACGCCCAAAGCAAGGCGUUACAUGGCACCUGACCCUCGAGUAGGCACGUUUCCUUCCUGAGGAAGGAUCGGGCGACGAAUGACAGCACUUCAACCACUUCGACGUAGCUGCUACCGCGACGUACAAGCAUGCAACAGAUAAACCAGUCCAGGACGGCGCACAGGAGCGGAAUUCAGGGGCAUGCGUAAUCAUCAUCAAGGUACCAAGACAAGACGGCUCGAGGCCACGCCGGUACGGAGGCCUCGAGUAGGUCAGCGCGCCGCACCCCUAUCGACCCCUACUCUGUCGCCUAUGUAUGUAACCUAGGCCUCCCCUUGGAACUAUAAAAGGGAAAGCCCAGGAGAGGAUACGGGGGACAAGAGAUAUACGCAUUAGAGCACUCAUACUCCCUCACCACCCAUCCACGUCUGUAUUCACCCCUGUACAAGCACUUAAGUGCAAGAUAAUACAAACUCUCCUCCCCCGCUGGACGUAGGGCCUUCUCUUGCCCGAACCAGGAUAAAUCUUUGUGUCUUUUCUUGCAUCACCAUCUGGAAAGGGGAGCACGCACACAAGUUUUACUCGUUUGUGUGACCCCCCGGGGGAAAACACCGACAGUUGGCGCGCCAGGUAGGGGUCCUGCGUGUUUUUCACCGAUUUCCCAUCUUUUUCCAGAUGGCCACUCUUGUUUCACCGAUUCCACGCUCCAUGGAGAUUUGGUUCGGGAGCCUCGAGUUCAUGUCCACCGGUUUUGGCUACGAUAUGAUCCUGCUCUCGGUCAAAGGACCGGGAGGAGCUCGCGUUGCGCCCGCCCGAUUGAGGGCCCCCAGACGGCCUCGCCACCACGCCUCCCCGCCCAAGAAGAGGCGUGGUCAGCGCCACCAUCACCCCUCUGCGUCGUCACGAUCGCAGGUUCGUGCCAAGCGGGAGGUGACGCAGGGGCCGACAGCCCCGCGUGCCGAAGCCGCGGGUAUGACGGCCCGACGCCACGAGGACCGCAUGACGACGAUGGGAGACGGCGCGCCUUGCGCACUCUCGCCCGCCACGACGCUACUUCCGCACGGGCUGUUCGCCCCGAGAAGAGCGCUGCCGUUCGGUCUGGACAAUGCCGCGGCGUCACUCGCCAGGACGAUAUGUCCAAACGCCCAGACGUACGUGGAGAGACCAAUGGUCCUCCCACGCGACACUGGAGCACAGCAACGGACGUCCGAGCUGCCGGAUUUCUCUCAGGUACGAGGCCUCCGCCGCCUAGGUCCUGGGCGGUACACGAUCACCUCGCUCAGGCAACGGCUGCUGGAGGAGGGACGUGGAUGCUUCUACGCCGCCGAGCCGGACUCCGACUCUGAGUCCGACAGCUACGACCCUACUAGGGAAUGCUUCCAUAUCGACAGGGCGGUAGAAAGCACCGACGAGACACAAGUCGCCGUUGCCGGCGGUCGAGCCCCUGCAGCAAGGGAAGACCCCAGGACGCCUGGAAACGACGGUCAAGUCGACCCUCCUCCGCAAGAAGACAGAGCCGCGCAACUUGCGCAGUUAUGAGAGCUCAAAGCGAAGCUCGAUGAAGAUCGCGAGUGCCUUGUCCUGCUUGAACAGAUCCUCGAGCAGGACCAGCCAUACCCGCCUGGCGGAAGUGUCCGCAGACGGGCUCGAGAAGUACAUCGACAAAUCGUUGGAGACAGGGAGCCUGAGCAACCCGUCAGCCGUUUCCCUCGAGCGGGACAGAACAUCGUGGCGGCAACAAUGCUGCUACGCAAUAUGCCCGAACCGUCGAAUUCCCAAGCGCGACGCAUUCGAGACGAGGUACAGACUCUGCUCCAAGUGGCGGCAGUUCAGCAAGCCGAGAGCUCGGCCUCUCGACGUCGAGGAGCAGCCACGGAGAAGCGUGAGGAGGCGGCCCAGAACGAAAAGGAGGUGUCGGUCCAUCAGCAACCACCCCCUCGAGGGAAGAAGACAGCACUCGUCCUCAACCACCCCGUCGACAAUCAGCGACGACACGACGCACGACGCGACAUCGACGAGAAUCGUCGCCGUCGAUAUGGGGAUGCAGAAGAGCGUGGUUACAGCGCCCACCGCGGCGGGAGAUACGACAGCGACGAGGAUCGGAUGGCCCCGGAACCGUCGGGCCCUCGGGUGUUCAGUAGAGCAAUCCGCAGCACGCCACUGCCCAGCCCGUUUCGACCCCCGACCAGCAUCGCUAAAUACAACGGCGAAACCAAGCCAGAGCUAUGGUUCGUAGACUUCCGGUUAGCCUGUCAGUUGGGUGGCGCUCGAGGAGAUGAUCGAGCCAUCAUCAGGCAGUUGCCGCUUUUUCUCUCCGACACCGCCCGCAGAUGGCUGGAGGAACUCCCGGCCAAUCAAAUCCACGAUUGGGUCGAUUUGGUCAGAGUAUUUGAGGGCAACUUCAAAGGGACCUACAUACGGCCCGGCAACUCGUGGGACCUCAACAAGUGCAAGCAGAAGUCAGGAGAAACUCUCCGGGAGUAUGCUCGACGCUUCUCGAAGCAAUGCACCGAGCUGCCGCACAUCCCAGACCACGACGUCAUCCUGGCCUUUGUUAGGCCAGAAUCGUCCUCAGACCGUCGAUGAGCUGACGGACGUAGUGGCAAACUACACUACAGGGGAAGAAGCGGUCGGUGCCUUCUUGAGCUGCGAAGGAGGGAAAGGCAAGUCGCCCGCCGAUGACGAUAAGGGCCCCAGUCAAGGACCCAAGAAGAACAAAAAGAAGAAGAAAGCACGGCUGUUCCAGCAGGAUGCCCUCGACGAUGAUCUCGUCGCCGCCAUGGAGCGCAAAAGGCCUCGAGGACCCCCAGAGGGGGCUAUCUUCGACCAAAUGCUAAAGGAGCCCUGCUAUCGGUGUUUUCCCCACGGGGGGUCACACCAACGAGUAAAUUUGUAUGCGUGCUCCCUUUCCCAGAUGGUGAUGCAAGAAGACACAGGGAUUUAUCCUGGUUCGGGCAAGAGAAGGCCCUACGUCCAGCGGGGGGAGGAGAGUUUGUAUUAUCUUGCACCUAAGUGCUUGUACAGGGGCGAAUACAAGCGUGGUAUGAAGUGUGGAGCUCUACUACGUAUGAGCGUGGUCUUGUGUCGUGAUGUCCCUUGCUAUUCUAUUCCUGAGUCCCUCCUUUUAUAGUUCCAAGGAGAGACCCAAGGUACAUGUAUAGGCGUCAGAAUAGAAGUCGAUAGCAGUAUGGAGCGCUGACCUACUCAAGGCUUCCGUACCGGCAUGGCCUCGAGCCGUCCCGUCUUAAUAUCCUGGUGAUGAUUACGCGUGCCCCUGCAUUCUGCUCUGCGCGCCGUCUUGGAUUGGUUUGACGGAUGCACGCUUGUACGAUCCGGCGGCAAAUCCGGCGGAGUGGUUGGGAUGUAGCCAGUCGACGCCCAACCCGUCCCCUGGAAGGAUCUCUGUCUGGUCGAGGGUCAGAUGCCGUACAUUGUGCCGAUAUCCGGAGCGCUGACUUUAGACGUCUCGAGGGGGUCCCGAUUAGACGUCCCAUCCUUGUUUCCCGCGCCCUGUCGUGCCCUGGGUCGUUCGGCGGGAAGGCUGCAAAAAGAUCGAUGGGACGGAAGCCUGUUCCCUAUCACGCUUCCCGUGACCUGUGUGUUAGGUGGGGAAGCAUCAGGCGCAUUUAAUGCUCCGGCCCGCGUGCGCGCGUCAGGCGGCGGGCGGCGUCCUUGCGCUCGACGCCCCCCGGUUCGCGUGAGCCUGUUCCGUAUUCGACGGUAACCGGCGCUCGACGCCUGAUCGAUUCGCUCGACGCUAUUUCCGCCUUCGAGGUUGCGGCCGUCGAUGGCGGCGCAUACGUAAGAUUAGAGCGUCGAAUUGAGGGCCUCGACCUGCGUACGGGCAAUCUCGUAAUGCGCAUCGCUGAGGGUACCCCUUGCCGAUACCCUCGACAGUAGCCCCCGAGCCUCCAUUUGAGCGCUAGCGCUCAAGUGGAGGCUUUGUUUUGCGGUCGAAUUUCCGUGGGGGCGCGCGAGCGACCCCACGGGGGUAGCCCCCAAGCCCUCGGAGGAGUUUUUGACUCCUUCGAGGGCUAUGUUGUCUAAUUCGCAGAAGCGCUUUCGACACCAGUGGUGGAAGGUUCUGACUGGCUCGUUUUGCCCGUGGGUUUCGGCGUACUCUCGAUAGAGCGAGCGUCUUCCACCCCAAAUUGAGUUCCUGGCGGGUAGUCCAAGUGAGAACCUGUGCCCCUUUCGAGGGGGUCAGCUGUAGCCCGGAGGCGUUCUCAUAAAGCGGGAUCGACGUGGUCGGGGAUACCAGUCUCAUUCGAUAGAGACCGGCGGCUCGAUGCCUCCCGUCGGGGGGAUUCCUCUCGACUGUCUCGACCCUACCUUGAACAUCGCCAGCGAGCCCUCGAGGCGGGCCUCGAUCUUCGACCGCUCGCUGGGGAUCCCUGACUCUGGCGCUCGAGAUCGGCUGUCGAACCCUUUCGGCGGGCCAGCCAUCGACCUCUCGAGACUCUCGCGGGUACGUCCCUUGGCUUACGAGGGAAGGAAGUGGCCGUGGCAGUUCGCCUUUCUGCCCGUUGGGCGCGCCUUUUUAGGCGGGUGACGUUACGACACUGCGUCGGCGUGGGAUUCGGGGCGCCACGCCUGCGUGGGAAAGAGACGAUUAGGUGGCGCAUUUAAUGGAGGGAGUUACCUUAUUUCUCGGAUCUGUCCGUUGGCGGACUGCUGCCUAUAAAUACGUCGUGGCGUCGCCGCCGUUCCUCUCCCUUCCGCCUUCUCGCUUUUAUUCUCUCGUUGCCUUUGCUUUCUCGCUGCCUUAGCUCUCUUGCCGUCUCACGCGCACACGCCUCCUCGAGCUGUAGCGAAUCCACCGUCCCUCCAGCCGAGAUGCCUGUAAGACUCGUUGCCACCGACGACUGGCGCCCGUCGUCGAUGACGGAGCGCCGGUUGUUAGAGCUUGAGAAAGAGGGACUGCUACGCCGCCGUACCUCGCUAUCGUCGCCAGAGUGGAUCACGCCGCCGGCGAGUCACAGGGGGCCUCAGCCGCCCGAGGGCUACGUGGUGUCGUUCGCCAAGUUCCACCGCCACGGCCUGGGCGUGCCCCCAAGCCGCUUCAUGCGGGCCCUCUGCUUCCAUUAUGGGGUGGAGCUCCAGCACUUCUCUCCGAACGCCAUCACCGUAGCGGCGGUCUUCGCCGCCGUGUGUGAGGGCUACUUGGGGAUGAUGCCGCACUGGGAGCUGUGGCUCCACCUCUACAGGGGAGAGCUUUUCCACGCCCCACUGGAACCACGGGCGUAAGGAAGCCCGUGCGAGCGGGAUGCCUCAAUCUGGUGCAGAAGACGGGGAAGACGGACAGGCCGCGGGAGUACAUCCCAGUAGGGUUAUCGACCAACCACGCCGGCUGGGACUCCCAGUGGUUUUACCUGCGGAAUGAUGACAACCUCCUGCCUUCCUACUCGGGCCGUCUGAUCAUGGAGCGUCCAGCGGACUGGACAUACGGCGUCGUCCAAGCUCAUCAAUCUCGGCUCGACCCCCUCCUCGACGCCCUGAAGAAGAUUCGCCAGGAGGGUUUGACCGCCGCUCUCGUCCUCUCGGCCGUGCAUCACCGGAGAGUUCUCCCUUUGAUGUCUCGCCCGUUGAGGAUGGACGAGAUGGGCCCUGGCGUCUCAUCUCGGGACCUCGAGGCGUGUCGGAUAUCCAACGAGGCUCCGGCGGACGACGAAGUCGCGGCCCAAGUCAGGGCUGCAAUUGCCGGUGAUUUUCAGUCGGAGCACGUUAACGGCUUCCCCAUGAGACCAGACGCAGGCUCGAUCGAUCUGGUUCGCUUUCUUCUUGCGCGCAGCCUCGAUUCUGGGUUUCCUUUCUCCCCUCUCUUUUUUCUAAGUCUGCCUUUGUUUUGGCAGGGUCGGAUUGAUGUCCGGUCCUCGAGGCCUCCGGUAAAGGAGGACGAGGUCGAUCGUGACAAACGGCGCCAAUCUGCCGAAAAGCUAAAGUCCGCCAAGGACUCUGCAAAGAAGGGGGAGAAGAAGAAGAACCUCGACCACCAAGCAUUAGAGGCGCGUCGAGCCAAAUCCAGGCAGAGGGGGGAGCCUGAGGAAGAAUCCCCUAACGACGAUGACGAUGACGACGAGGACAGCGACGACUCUGAGGGGAUGGCGUCGCGCCUCGAUCGGAUUCUCGAGGGCCCGCCUCGAGGUGACGUCGACGCCCCCCGGACGGAGGCGCCAGAGGAAGGUCCGAGCGGAUCUCAUCGCCCCCGGGCCGACACCCCUCCCGCGCCCAAGGCGGGCCAGGACGCACCGCGCCCUCCCCCGGUGCCCAGGGAGAGCGGUCUGGCUAGGCCCCAGGCGUCGUGGCCACUAACUCGUGGUCGCGCCGCGGCCUCUGAGAAAGGAGAUGCCGGCCGUAGGAGCGCCAGUCCCGGCGCCCGCCAAGCGGGGACCGACGCGCCUAGGCCAGUGCCCACCCUCGAGGGGCCUGGAGCCCUGACGCGGGGUGGCUCGAGGCCCACUGGUCGGGGUGGCGGGAGGCGAGCCGUUCUCCGUGUGGGGUAAGCCUUUUUGAUGUUGCGGUUUUUGUCUUCCCAUUCUUCCACCUUUCCUCAUAUGCCAACCUUUUUUCAGGCUAAAGCGGACCCUUGAGCAGGCCCAACCAUCCAUGGCAAAGAGGCUCAAAACGGGUGCCGCCUCCAAGGAACCAGGUUCGUAGUUUAUUUCUGGGCGUUGCGAUGUUCUCGUGUCGGUUAUCAUAACGUCUGACCCUUUCCCUUUGUUUCGUAGGCUCCUCCAGCUCCCAACCUCCAGCCGGCGUCGAGAGGGCUCCGUCUCGUCCCGCGCCUACUCCGUCGCCGCCGACUCGUGAUGAGGCGCCCCAGACGCAAGCGUCAGAGGGAUCCGCCGAGCCCCCUCGAUUGGGGGUCGAGGGGGAACCCAUCACCAUCAGCGAUACGUCCGAUGGUAACGAAGCGUCUUGGGGCGCUCGCCCUAUGGAGGAGGAAGCGCCAACCCCCAACGUCGCGGGAUCAACUCCCUGGCCCGCCGGCCUCCGCACCCUCGAGGAGCAGAAGAAGAAGAGAGAGGAGGAUGAACAGCGGGAGCGCGAGGCGGCGCGGCAGCCGCAGGAACAUGAGACGCAGCAACAGCGACAGCUACAGCAGCAGGAGCGACAGCAGCAGCAGCAGGAGCAGCAGCAUCAGCAGCAGGAGCAACAGCAGCAGCAGCAGGGGGGCCAGGAGGAGGGACUGCUCGAGCCCCCGCCCCAAGGUCCGGCCCAGCCAGUACCGCCGGAGCCGUAAGGGCCCGGCGAGCAAGAAGAGGAUUUGCCGGUGUACGGCCCCCCGACCCCAGCGUGGCUCCUCCCGGGGGCACCCGCCGCGAUCCGGGCAGAGCCGGGGCGUGCGGAUGGAGUGGUGGCGCUCGCCUGCAUGAUGCGCACCCCCACCGACCCUGAGUCCGAGAUCAAGCAGACGAUCUACGGCAUGGACGGGAUCGCCCCACGGUUCCUCCGGGAGCGUCGGGCAUGGGAGGACCGCUUUCCCUCCGAGGAGGAUGAAAUCGGGACGUCGGGGACCAAGGACGGGACCUGGAAGACGGUGGAUGACGACGGGCGGUUUCCAUGCCUCGUCGACCUGUUCUUGCGCCAUGGGGGUUCUCUCGAGACCGUCGAGGACCUCAUCCGUGGCAUAAAGGCGCGGGCCGACCGGGAGAUGGAGCAUUGGUGCCCCGAUCGGAUCCGCAUCCGAGCCUAACAUUUUUCUGGACGAUCGAAAGGAGGCAGAGAAGUGGGAGCACGUCGAGGAACUCCGCCUUUGGAUGAAGCACGUGGUGGGGCUCCUCUCAAACGUUAUCAACAACGGGCUCGGCCCGGCUUAUUUCGUAAGUGCUUUUCGAUCUUCAACCCUCGUGGAGCCUUUUGGUUUUGCGCUCUAACCGUUCAAUCCUUGGUUCGCAGGAUAUGAAAGAGACCUCCCGCAUCAAGUCUAGUUUCAUACACGCCACGAGAGGCGGCUAGGAGCAGCUUCCCCUCCUCAAGGAUCAACUCCUCGAGUCGCAGGAAAAGCUCCUUAAAGCUUAUAAGGAUCUCAUAGCACUUGAGGAGGAGAAGAAGGUGAGGGAGGCUGCCUUGGCCGAGGCCCGAGAGGCCUCAAAGAAGGCGGAGGAGGAGACGAUGCUGCUACGGGAGCGGGCUCUUACGGUCGAGGAGGCCGCGUCCAAAGCCCGGGAGGAGGCCCUGUCCUACAAGAGCGUUAUCACAGACCUGGACAAGGAGAAGGGCUUUCUUAAAACCGACCUGGACUCCCUUCGAGAGUCCUUCCAAAGGAUGAAGGUGGAGCAUGUGAACGGCGAGAUCGCCAGGAGCGCCGCGGAGGAAACCAAGAAGAAGGCCCUUGAAGAUCUCGAGGCGGAGCAGGCUCAAUCCCGCAGGCUCUCUGACGACGUUCAGCGUCUGAAGGGAGAGCUGCUGGAGAAGAGUGGGGCCAUUGUUCAGGCUGGCAAGGCGAUCGAGGAUCUCCGCAUUGCCAACACCGAGCUGGCACGCUCCAACAAAGAGAUCGAGAGGGCCAACACCAGGCUGGUCGGCGAGAACACGGCCCUAGAGGAGACCGUACGCGGUAUGUUUCCUCUAUCAGAUUUCUUUUUUUGGGGUGUGCUUGGUUUUUCCUAAGGUCUCUUGUAUUGGCCUUUGCAGGGCUCAAGGACAAACUCCUGGCCGCCCAAGCCGAGGCUCGCAACGCCAAGGCUCAGCUCGAGGUGGAGGUUGCUUUGAACCGUCGAGUUCGGAUGGCGAUAAGUGAUCUCUCGACCUCUUGGGAGGUCGAGCCCAUGGAUGAGUCGAGGGAGGGCGCUCAAGGUGACGCCCUGGUUGACCAGCUGUGCUACAUAGGCGCGACGCUGCGAGAUCGGGUGCGGGAUGCCCUCCACAUCGGGGUGAAGCGGGCGAUGGCGGUUGUCUGCUCGGGCUUCUCCUACGACAUGGAGGUGGUGUCUCACGGCUUCGUCACCGACAUCUCCAAGACCGACGCGGAGAACGAGGAGAGGCUCCAUGCCUUGAUCGACGACGCGGAGGCUCCUGGGGAAAGGCUGGCUAAGCUUUUUGAGCCUGAGGUGCUUCCUCCUGAGACUAGCUUAGGCGGAGGCGAGGGCGGUGAGGAUCGUGCCGCGGACUGAGGCCUGCGAGCUUGCUCAGGGCGCCUGGGGCCCCUUGUAUGAUAUUUUAUUAAUUCUGUUGCUAAGUGAUACAGUGUCUUUUUGUAAUUGUUAAAUGCUUAUUUGUCUUUCCACUCGAGGUCCUUUUAUUUCUCUUUGUUCCUACGUUUGUACCCCCUGCUCGAUCUUUCGUCACAAACAACCUCGAUCACCUCAAUGGUGAGGAAGUGAGUAGAGUUUCCGAAGCCCGGGGGCGUAGGAGUUCUCUGGCUCGUUGUCCCUCGGCCUUUGAGGGGCUCGAGGCGCCUCUGCUACUCGAAACGCGCAAGGUUUACUAAAUAGGAAAAGAAAGUUUCUUGGCUUUGUCGACGCUUGGGGGGGGUCGUCCCCCUGGUAGCCCCCGAGGGGGUGUUGACUAUGAUGGGUCAUGGUCGGCAUCCCCUUUUAACGUCGAGACUAUGACUUGUAGCUUUUUUUGGCACAAAAAGAAGUCGCUCGAGGGAAAGACUUUAUUUAUUCAUGCGUUCGUUUACAAAGUCUUGGUACAAAAUGUAGGAACGUAAGUUUAGGACUUCUAGGGGUAGAAUCGACGUAGCUGUUCGAUGUUCCAUGCGUUGGUGAAGAUUGCCCCCUUUUCGUCCGCCAACUUGUACGUUCCCGGCUUCAGGACCUCGGCCACCAUGUACGGGCCUUCCCAAGGCGGAGUCAGCUUGUGGCGUCCUUGAUUGCUUUGCCGGCGUCGUAGGACAAGGUCGCCCACGUUGAGGUCCCUCUUGCGCACGUGCUUGUCGUGGUAGAGUUGAAGUUUUUGCUGGUAUCUGGCAGAGUUGAGGAGGGCCAUGUCUCGAGCCUCCUCGAGUUGGUCGACCGCGUUUUCUUGAGUCUCCUUAUUGGAUUGCUCAUUAUACGCCUUGAGUCGAGGUGACCCAUACUCGAGGUCUGUGGGGAGGACAGCCUCGGAGCCGUAGACCAUGAAGAAUGGGGUGUACUUCGUGGCCCUGCUUGGCGUUGUCCUUAGACUCCAUAGGACCGAGGAAAGCUCCUCGACCCAUUUCUUGCCGAAUUUCUUCAAACGAUUGUAGAUCCUUGGCUUGAGUCCUUGCAAAAUCAUACCGUUGGCACGCUCGACCUGGCCGUUGGUUCGAGGGUGGGCUACUGCAGACCAGUUCACACGGAUGUGAUGCUGAUCGCAGAAGUCCAAGAACUUUUUGCCGGUGAACUGAGUGCCGUUGUCGGUGAUGAUGACGUUGGGAAUCCCAAAUCGAUGGAUUAUGUCGGUGAAGAAAAGGUCGGCCUGUUCGGAGCGGAUGUUGGUGAUGGGUCGAGCCUCGAUCCAUUUGGAGAAUUUGUCAAUGGCCACCAACAAGUGGGUGUACCCUCCUUUCGUCUUUUGUAGAGGUCCUACCAAAUCGAGCCCCAAACUGCAAACGGCCAGGUGAUGGGGAUCAUCUGAAGAGCGUGGGCGGGCAGGUGCGUCUGCUUGGCGUAAAACUGGCACCCGUGACACGUGCGCACGAGCUCGAUGGCAUCUGCCACGGCCGUCGGCCAGUAGAAACCCUGUCGAAAAGCGUUUCCCACGAGGGUCCGUGGAGCAGCAUGGUGGCCGCAAGCCCCCGAGUGUAGGUCUUCAAGGAGUUUUCGACCUUCUUCCACGGUGAUGCAACGCUGUAAGACCCCCGUCGGGCUUCGUCGAUAUAGCUCGUUGUCUUCGCCAUAUAUCACAUAUGACUUGACCCGUCGAGCGAUGCGACGGGCCUCUGACCGAUCUUCUGGCAGCUCGCCGUGGAUUAGGCAGUCGAGGUAUGGUGUGCGCCAGUCGAACGGUCGACCAGGCUGUCAUUCUACCUCCAUCACUUCAGCCGCCAUCAAGAGUGUGUCGACGGUGUUGGUUGGCUGGGCAGGAGCUGCGUCGACGCCAGCCCCCGAGCCUAAGUCGACGGAUGGCUCGUAGAGAUCUCUCGAGAACGCGUUAGGUGGCACCGUGCCUCGAGUCGAUGCGAUCUUGGCGAGUUCGUCGGCUGCCUCAUUGUAGCGUCGGGCGACAUGGACAAGCUCAAUACCAUAGAAUUUGUCCUCGAAUCGAUGGACUUCUUUGCAGUACGCUUCCAUUUUCGGGUCGUGGCAGCUCGAGGUUUUCAUUACUUGGUCGAUGACGAGUUGGGAGUCACCUCGGACGUCGAGGCGUCGGACUCCUAACUCGAUAGCGAUCUUGAGACCAUUGACGAGGGCCUCAUAUUCUGCGACGUUGUUAGAUGCGGCAAAAUGAAUCCUGAUUACAUACCUCAUGUGGACGCCCAAGGGUGAGAUGAACAGUAGGCCGGCCCCGGCCCCAGUUUUCAUGAGUGACCCGUCGAAAUACAUUGUCCACAACUCCGCCUGGACCUGAGUCGGGGGAAGCUGGGAGUCCGUCCAUUCCGCGACGAAGUCUACCAGGGCUUGCGAUUUGAUGGCCUUCUGAGGUGCAUAAGUGAGAGUCUCACUCAUGAGCUCGACCGACCACUUAGCUAUUCUUCCCGUGGCCUCCUUGCUCUGGAUUAUCUCACCCAAAGGGAAAGACGAAACCACUGUGAUGGGGUGACCAAGGAAGUAAUGCUGCAGCUUGCGGCGAGCGAGGAUUACGGCGUAGAUCAGCUUCUGGAUUUGGGGGUAACGCGCCUUGGUCUCCGAAAGCACCUCGCUGACGAAAUAGACUGGCCUUUGGACCGGCAACGCAUGACCCUCCUCCUGUCUUUCAACUACCACUGCCGCACUGACGACCUGGGUAGUUGAUGCGAUGUAGAGGAGUAGCGGCUCUGCAGGUUGAGGCGGAACUAGGACUGGCGCCGAGGUCAGCGUCUUCUUCAGUCUUUCGAGCGCUUUCUCGGCCUCGGGGGUCCAAGAAAAGCGCUCGACCUUCUUCAGGAGUCGAUACAAUGGUAGCGCCUUUUCUCCUAGUCUCGAGAUGAAACGGCUCAGAGCCGCAAGGCAUCCCGUGACUCUCUGCACGCCCUUGAUGUCUCGGAUCGGCCCCAUUCUUGUGAUGGCCGAGACUUUCUCGGGGUUGGCCUCGAUGCCGCGCUGCGAGACGAUGUAGCCUAGGAGCAUGCCUCGAGGCACAACGAAAACACAUUUCUCGGGAUUGAGCUUGAUCCGGUUGGUGCGUAAGCAGCUAAAAGCGAUCUCGAGGUCCUGGAUCAGGUCUCCUCGCCGCUUUGAUUUGACAACAAUGUCGUCGACGUAGGCCUCGACCGUCGACCCUAUGUGUUCGCCAAAUACGUGGAGCAUGCAAUGUUGGUACGUGGCUCCCGCGUUUCGAAGCCCAAAUGGCAUGGUCACGUAGCAAUACAUCCCAAAAGGGGUGAUGAAAGAGGUCGCGAGCUGGUCGGACUCUUUCAUUUUUAUUUGGUGGUAACCAGAAUAUGCAUCAAGAAAAGAAAGGGUUUCACAUCCCGCGGUAGAAUCGACAAUCUGAUCAAUACGUGGCAAUGGAAAAGGAACUUUUGGACAUGCUUUAUUUAGACUAGUAUAAUCGACACACAUCCUCAUUUUCCCAUUCUUUUUCUUAACUAAUACAGGGUUUGCUAACCAGUCGGGAUGAUGAACCUCCUUGAUGAAUCUGGCCGUCAAAAGCUUCUGGACUUCCUCGCCAAUGACCUUGCGCUUCUCCUCGUCGAAUCAGCGCAACCGCUGCUUCACUGGCUUGGAACCGGCUCGAAUCUCCAAGGAGUGCUCGGCGACUUCCCUCGGUAUGCCUGGCAUGUCCGAGGGACUCCAUGCAAACAUGUCGGCAUUUGCACGGAGAAAGUCGACGAGCACAACUUCCUAUUUGGGGUCGAGGUCGGCGCUGAUCGUCAGCACCUUGCCGUCGGAGUUGUUGGGGUCGAGCGGGAUCUUCUUGGUUCCUUCUGCCGCCUCGAAGCUGCCCGUGUGGCGCUUAGGCUCUGGAGCCUCAGCGGCCAGGGCCUCGAGUUUCGCGACGAGCUCGGUGGAGUUCUCGACCGCCUCCCCGUGCUCGACGCACUCGACAUCGCACUCGUACGCGUGCUCGAAAGAAGAACUGACAGUGAUGACGCCUUUGGGUCCUGGCAUCUUCAGCUUCAAGUAGGUAUAGUUGGGUAUAGCCAUGAACUUGGCGUAGCCCGGGCGCCCGAUGAUGGCGUGGUACGUGCCUCGGAAUCCGACGACCUCAAAGGUGAGGGUCUCCUUCCUGAAGUUGGCCGCCGUGCCAAAGCAGACGGGUAAGUCAAUUCGUCCUACUGGCAGCGCCUUUUUCCCUGGCACGACGCCAUGGAAGCCGCCGGCGCUUGGUUGGAGCUUCCCUCUAUCUAUGCCGAGGAGGUCGAGGGUCUCGAGGUAGAUGAUGUUGAGGCUACUGCCACCGUCCAUCAGCACCUUUGAGAGCCGGGUGUUGAUGAUGAUGGGGUCGACGACAAGCGGGUAGACGCCUGGGGCGACUACCUUGUCGGGGUGGUCUUCUUGGUCGAAAGUGAUAGGUGUGCUUGACCAGCUAAGGUACUGGGGCACCGCCAUUCUUGCCGCGAAGACCUCUCGACGCUCCCUUUUGCGCUGCCUCGUGGUCAACUGAGUCGAGGGCCCGCCAUAAAUCAUGUAGCAGUCGUGGACGGCAGGGAAGCCGUCGUCAUCUUUGUCGUCCUCCUUAUUGCCACCCUUCUCUUUCUUGGAGUCGUCACGCACAUCUUUCUUGAACCCCAGACCGUCGAAAUGUUUUUUCAACAUGCGACAGUCCUUGAGCUUGUGGUUGGCGCCCCCCUUAUGGUAAGGGCACGGCUCCUCCAGCAUCUUGUCGAAGAUGCCUCCAUCUGGAGGGCCUCGAGGUUUCUUUCGAUCCAUGGCGGCGACAAGGUUGUCAUCGGAAUCCUCCCGGUGGAACCGCCGUUCUUUCUGCUUCUUUUUAUUUUUCUUGAGGCCUCGACUGGGGGUCCCAUCUUCAUCGACGGGCUGCUUGCCUUUUCUCCCUUCAGAGCCGAAGAAGGCGCCGACUGCCUCCUCCCCUGCCGCAUAGUUGGCUACUAUAUCCAUCAGCUCGUCGACGGUCUGAGGUCAAUUGCGACCUAAUUCCCGCACCAAGUCUCGACUGGUAGUGCCCGAGACGAACGCCAAGAUGACGUCGUGGUCAGGGAUGUGCGGCAGCUCAGUGCGCUGCUUCGAGAAGCAUCGAGCAUACUCUCGAAGAGUUUCUCCUGACUUCUGUUUGCACUUGCUGAGGUCCCACGAGUUCCCAGGCCGUAUGUAGGUCCCUUUGAAGUUACCCUCGAAGACUCUGACCAGAUCAACCCAGUUGUGGAUCUGAUCAGCGGGGAGUUCCUCGAGCCAUCGACGGGCGGUGUCGGAGAGGAAAAGCGGGAGUUGCCUGAUGAUAGCUCGAUCGUCUCCUCGAGCUCCCCCCAACUAACAGGCCAGCCUAAAGUCGGCUAACCACAAUUCCGGUUUGGUUUCGCCGUUGUAUUUCGCGAUGCUGGUUGGGGGUCGAAAUGGGCUGGGCAGGGGCGUGCUGCGGAUCGCCCUGCUGAAAACCUGUGGGCCCGGUGGCUCGGGGGCCACCCGAUCUUCGUCGCUGUCGUACCUGCCACCGCGAUGUGCGCUGUAACCGCGCUCUUCCGCGUCCCCGUACCGGCGGCGUCGAUUCUCCUCGAUGUCGUGCCGUGCGUCGUGUCGACGCUGGUUGUCGACGGGGAGGAUGAGGGCGGUCUUUCUACCUCGAGGUGGAGGUUGCUGAUGGACUGACACCUCCUUUUCGUUUUGAGGCUGCUCGUCGCGCUUCUCAGUGGCAGCCCCUCGCCGUCGAGAAGCUGAGCUUUCGGCUUGUUGAACCGCCGCCACCUGGAGCAAUGUCUGUACCUCAUCUCGAAUGCGUUGAGCCUGGGAGUUCGAUGGCUCUGGCAUGUUACGCAGUAGCAUCGUUGCUGCCACUACGUUCUGGCCUGCUCGAGGGAAACGGCUGAUAGGUUGCUCUGGCUCUGCGUCACCGAUGAUCUGUCGAUGUACCUCUCGAGCGCGUCUGCAGACACUCCCGCCCGGUGGGUAGGGCAGGUCUUGCUCAAGGAUUUGCUCGAGCAGGACGAGGUGCUCGCGGUCUUUGUCGAGCUUCAUCUUGAGCUCCCACAGCUGCGCGAGCUGCGCUUUUCGGUCUUCCUGUGGAGGGGGGUUGACCUGUCCGUCGUUCCCAGGCGUCCUGGGGUCUUCUCGUGCCACGGGGGCUCGACCGCCCGCAGCAGCAUCCUGUGUCUCGUCGGUAGUUUCUACCGCCCCGUCGACGUGAUAGCAUUCCCUCGUAGGGUCGUAGCUAUCAGUCUCAGAGUCGGAGUCUGGUUUGGCGGCGUAGAAACACUCACGUCCCUCCUCCAGCAAUCGCUGUCUGAGGGAGGUGAUCGUGUAUCGUCCAGGGCCUAGACGACGGAGGCCUCGUACCUGGGAAAGGUCCGGCUGCUCGGGCGCCGGCCGCCGAGCGCCAGAGCUGCGCGGGAGGACCGUUAGUCUUUCUACGUUCAUCUGGGCGUUUGGGCAUAUCGCCCUGGCGAGCGACGCCGCGGCGUUGUCCAAUCCGAAUGGCAGUGCCGUUCUCGGAGCGAACAACCCGUGUGGAAGUAGCCUAGCAGCGGUGGGGGAGAACGCGCGAGACGCGUCCCCUCCCGUCGUUGUGCGGUGCUGAGCCGUCGCGCUUGAUGCCCCGUCGCACGGCGCUGCCGACCUGUGGCCCGCUUCCUGCCUUGCACGAGUUGUUGGUCGUGAUGAGGCGGAGGGGCCGCGGUGAUGCUGUCCGCGCCUCUUCUUAGGCGGGGAGGCGUGGUGGUGUGGACGUCUCGGGGCCCCCGAUCGUGCUGGCGGAACGCAGGCUCCUCCUGGUCCUCUGACUGAGAGCAAGAUCAUGUCGUAACCGGAGCCCAUAGACAUGAACUCGAGACUCCCGAACCAAAUCACCGUGGAGCGCGGAAUCGGCGAGGCGAGAGUAGCCAUCUGGAAAGGAGUGGGAAAUCGAUGAAAAACACGCAGGACCCCUACCUGGCGCGCCAACUGUCGGUGUUUUCCCCACGGGGGGUCACACCAACGAGUAAAUUUGUAUGCGUGCUCCCUUUCCCAGAUGGUGAUGUAAGAAGACACAGGGAUUUAUCCUGGUUCGGGCAAGAGAAGGCCCUACGUCUAGCGGGGGGAGGAGAGUUUGUAUUCUAAGUGCUUGUACAGGGGCGAAUACAAGCGUGGUAUGAAGUGUGGAGCUCUACUACGUAUGAGCGUGGUCUUGUGUCGUGAUGUCCCUUGCUAUUCUAUUCCUGAGUCCCUCCUUUUAUAGUUCCAAGGAGAGACCCAAGGUACAUGUAUAGGCGUCAGAAUAGAAGUCGAUAGCAGUAUGGAGCGCUGACCUACUCGAGGCUUCCGUACCGGCAUGGCCUCGAGCCGUCCCGUCUUAAUAUCCUGGUGAUGAUUACGCGUGCCCCUGCAUUCUGCUCUGCGCGCCGUCUUGGAUUGGUUCGACGGAUGCACGCUUGUACGAUCCGGCGGCAAAUCCGGCGGAGUGGUUGGGAUGUAGCCAGUCGACGCCCAACCCGUCCCCUGGAAGGAUCUCUGUCUGGUCGAGGGUCAGAUGUCGUACAUUGUGCCGAUAUCCGGAACGCUGACUUUAGACGUCUCGAGGGGGUCCCGAUUAGACGUCCCAUCCUUGUUUCCCGCACCCUGUCGUGCCCUGGGUCGUUCGGCGGGAAGGCUGCAAAAAGAUCGAUGGGACGGAAGCCUGUUCCCUAUCACGCUUCCCGUGACCUGUGUGUUAGGUGGGCAAGCAUCGGGCGCAUUUAAUGCUCCGGCCCGCGUGCGCGCGUCAGGCGGCGGGCGGCGUCCUUGCGCUCGACGCCCCUCGGUUCGUGUGAGCCUAUUCCGUAUUCGACGGUAACCGGCGCUCGACGCCUGAUCGAUUCGCUCGACGCUAUUUCCGCCUUCGAGGUUGCGGCCGUCGAUGGCGGCGCAUACGUAAGAUUAGAGCGUCGAAUUGAGGGCCUCGACCUGCGUACGGGCAAUCUCGUAAUGCGCAUCGCUGAGGGUACCCCUUGCCGAUACCCUCGACACCUGCCCUUACCAUAAGGGAGGGGCAAACCACAAGCUCGAGGACUGCCGUAUGCUGAAGAAGCACUUCGACGGCCUGGGAUUCAAGAAGGACGACCAAAAGAAAGAGAAGAACGGCGACAAGGGGGACAACAAUGAUGACGAAGGUUUCCCAGCCGUCCACGACUGCUACAUGAUCUACGGUGGACCCUCGACGCAGCUAACCGCAAGGCAACGCAACAGGGAGUGCCGCGAGGUCUUUGCGGCAAGGAUGGCAGUGCCCUAAUACCUCAACUGGUCAAACACCCCCAUCACCUUCGAUCGAGACGACCACCCCGACAAGGUAGUCACCCCCGGCGUCUACCCGCUCGUCGUCGACCCCAUCAUCGUCAACACUAGACUCUCGAAGGUGCUGAUGGAUGGCGGCAGCAGCCUGAACAUCAUCUACCUUGAGACCCUCGACCUCCUCGGCAUCAACCAGGCACAACUCCAGCCGAGCGUGGGCAGCUUCCAUGGUGUCGUACCUGGAAAGAAGGCAUUGCCGGUAGGUCGAAUCGACUUGCUGGUCUGCUUUGGCAUGAUGGCCAAUUUCAGAAAGGAGACCCUCACCUUCGAGGUGGUGGGAUUCCGAGGCACGUACCACGCCAUCAUCGGGCGCCCGGGCUACGCCAAGUUUAUGGCUAUCCUCAACUACACCUACCUGGAGCUGAAGAUGCCCGGACCCAAGGGCGUCAUCACCGUCAGCUCCUCCUACGAGCACAUGUACGAGUGCGACGUCGAGUGCGUCGAGUAUGGGGAAGCUAUCGAGAGCUCCACUGAGCUCGCCUCGAAGCUCGAAGCCCUGGCCGCAGAGGCUCUAGAGCCCAAGCGCCACGCGGGCAGCUUCAAGCCGGCAGAAGGAACGAAGAAGAUCCCGCUCGACCCCAACAACUCCGACAGCAAGGUGCUGACGAUCAGCGCCGACCUUGACCCCAAAUAGGAAGCCGUGCUCGUCAACUUUCUCCGUGCAAACGCCGACAUGUUUGCAUGGAAUCCCUCGGACAUGCCAGGCAUAACGAGGGAAGUCGCCGAGCACUCCUUGGAAAUUCGAGCCGGUUCCAAGUCAGUGAAACAACGGUUGCGUCGCUUCGACGAGGAGAAACGCAAGAUCAUUGGUGAGGAGAUCCACAAGCUUUUGACGGCCGGAUUCAUCAAGGAGGUUCACCAUCCCGACUGGUUAGCAAACCCUAUACUAGUUAAGAAAAAGAAUGGGAAAAUGAGGAUGUGUGUCGAUUAUACAAGUUUGAAUAAAGCAUGUCCAAAAGUUCCUUUUCCAUUGCCACGUAUCGAUCAAAUUGUUGAUUCUACUGCGGGAUGCGAAACCCUUUCUUUCCUUGAUGCAUAUUCUGGUUACCAUCAAAUAAAAAUGAAAGAGUCCGACCAGCUCGCGACAUCUUUCAUCACGCCUUUUGGGAUGUACUGUUAUGUAACCAUACCGUUCGGGCUUCGAAACGCGGGAGCAACAUACCAGCGAUGCAUGCUCCACGUGUUUGGCAAACAUAUAGGGUCGACGAUCGAGGCAUACGUUGACGACAUCGUCGUCAAGUCAAAGAAACGAGGAGACCUGAUUCAGGACCUCGAGAUCGCUUUCAGUUGCUUACGCGCCAACAAGAUCAAGCUCAACCCCGAGAAAUGCGUCUUUGGUGUACCUCGAGGCAUGCUCCUAGGAUACAUAGUCUCCCAACGUGGCAUCGAGGCCAAUCCCGAGAAAGUCUCGGCCAUCACAAGAAUGGGGCUGAUCCGAGACGUCAAGGGAGUGCAGAAAGUCACGGGAUGUUUGGCGGCGCUAAGUCAUUUUAUCUCGAGGUUGGGAGAAAAGGCGUUGCCACUGUAUCGGCUCUUGAAAAAAGCCGAGCGUUUCUCUUGGACCCCUGUUGGGUAUUUUAAACGCAAACAGAAAAAUCCGCAAGCGCACGGAUACCGAUGUAGCCUUCACCCGGGAGUAUUCCAGAGUAUCGAUUUUCCACAGGGAACGUGAGUGUACUAAUUAAGAUCCAAGAUCGCCCAAGGAUAACUAUAUAAUUAUUUUUGGUAGGAAGAGAGGAAGUUUCCUGAGAGUUCUCUAGUUGAUCUAAGAAUCAAGAAUUACUUCAAGAUUAUCUAUUUCGGGACAUCAGAACACUAACCACAGAAAGAGAUGAGAAGGGGGCUAGGAAGGUCUGACUACGGUCCUACAAACACCGAUCCGAACAAGGUGGAAUACAUCGACUGAUAGGGCUGUCACUACCCAAGGGCUACCACAACUAUCCGCAGGAUUGGGUGCAAUUCCAGGUAAUUGCAAGACUAAACACCACGUCUAAUCUUUUAAUUACUACUCUAGCGUAUCAAAGACUAGAGCACUUGAUGCAAGCGGGAAUCCAAUAGAUAACUUGAAUGUAAAUAAAAAUAAUUAAAGUACUCAGGAAUUAUGAAUUGAAGAACCUGGAGAACGAUGAAGAACGAACCAGUUGCUGCAAAAGUACAAUGUUGAGGAAGAUCCGACAGAUCCGGCUCCUCCUCCUCCGCUCUCCUCUUCUCUCUCCCUAUUUUCUAGAUUACAACUAGAACUAACUAGAACUAUAACUAGAUGAACAAGAACUAGAACUAGAGGAACUAGAGGUAGAACUAGAAGAACUAGAGGGAUCCUCUCUACUUGGAUGAAGAAUUGAAACCCUAACUUUGAUUCUGUAGAAGAGGUAUGAUCUCCAGGGGCCAGGGGGCCUUGCUUAUAUAGUCUUUUCAAAUGAAUCUAGGCUGUUGGAUCAAACCGACAUUGAUUGAAUGGUUAUCCUUGAUCCUUUAGGUCGGUGGAGCAAUAUCCCGAAAGAGAGUCCUGAUUGGACUCUAUGUGAGGGCGGGCGCCCAGGAGAGUAGGGCGGGCGCCCUGUCCCUGAGUCCUCUCGGCCUCCGCUUCGUUCCCGUGGCUUCUGGAGUCUUCUAGAUGAUAGAAGAUUGCGCGGUAUGUUAAUAUCUCUAUGUAAACCCGACGUGUGGUCCUUUCUUCCGUAUUUCCUGAUAACCCCCUACAGAAAUAGACAAACACCAAAACUCGUGGAAUUCUGUCAGAUAAAACCCUAAGUCUGGGUGUUGGUUGCAUUUGGAUCCUUUUCCAUGAUUAGUUGAUGGUUAAAUGUGAGCAUUAAGGACCGUCAACAAGCUCCCCCAAGCUUAACCUUUGCUCGUCCCUGAGCAAAUAUGAACUCAAGAGUUUCUGCAGUGGUUUCAUGCUUUAAAGGUACACAUGCAUUCAAACAAGAUCUCAUCUCUGUGUUAGGGUAAACUGUUAAGAUUUAAUCUUACUCAUUUUACCUUCCACCAUGGGGCUUGCAACCGUCACCUGUGUCUUGAGUAGUUAAAAGAUAGAACGGUCUAGUCAAGCGCCAUGUCUCUUGUUCUUCGAUUAACUAUAGCUCUAGAGUUUUUUUGUAGAUUUUCAAAUAAAACUCAGAGAUUCCUUGUAUGGCUCUCUGUAGUCUCUCUUUUGUGGUAUUUCUGGAUCCUUACCAAGGCAGUAAUGGUGUAUGCCUUCUCUCAAAGUAUGUGGUAUUUUUGUUAUGAGGCAUAGUGACAUUGCCUUCUCUCUCACCCUACUCUAAUAAGUUUUUGAUAUCUGGAGCUCAUAGGUGGGAGACAGCUAAUACAUACUUACAAGACAUUUAUUGCAUAGUCAAACCGUGGAUCCAGAAGAACAAGUCAAUAAGUCAAAAAUAGAAAAUUGUGCGGCACAUUAUUAUCUCUAUGUAAACCCGACGUGUGGUCCUUUCUUCCGUAUUUCCUGAUAACCCCCUGCAAAAAUAGACAAACAACAAAACUCGUGGAAUUCUGUCAGAUAAAACCCUAAGUCUGGGUGUUGGUUGCAUUUGGAUCCUUUUUCAUGAUUAGUUGAUGGUUAAAUGUGAGCAUUAAGGACCGUCAACAACCCCCGAAGCCGAGGAAGCCCUCGAUAACUUGAAGAAAACACUGACCUUUGCCCUGGUCCUGGUCCCACCUCAACCCGCAGAACCUCUGGUUCUGUACGUUGCCUCGAUGACCCAGGUCGUCAGUGCGGCAGUAGUGGUCGAGAGGCAGGAAGAGGGGCAUGCGCUGCCAGUCCAGAGGCCGGUCUAUUUCGUCAGCGAGGUACUCUCAGAGACCAAGGCACGGUAUCCACAAAUCCAGAAGCUAAUCUACACCGUGAUCCUCGCCCGACUCAAGUUGCAACACUACUUCCUCGGCCACCCUAUCACGGUGGUCUCGUCCUUCCCCUUGGGUGAGAUCAUCCAAAGUCGGGAGGCUACGGGAAGAAUCGCCAAAUGGUCGGUCGAGCUCAUGAGUGAGACCCUCACUUACGCGUCCCGCAAAGCUAUCAAGUCUCAAGCUCUGGUGGAUUUCGUCGCGGAAUGGACGGACUCCCAGCUCCCCCCCGACUCAAGUUCAAGCGGAACUAUUGACGAUGUAUUUCGACGGGUCUCUCAUGAAGACGGGAGCUGGGGCAGGCCUGCUAUUCGUCUCGCCUAUGGGCGUUCAUAUGAGGUAUGUCAUCAGGAUACAUUUUGCUGCAUCCAACAACGUUGCGGAAUACGAGGCCCUUGUCAAUGGGCUGAAGAUCGCCAUCGAGAUAGGAGUUUGGCGCCUCGACGUCCGAGGCGACUCCCAACUCAUCAUCGACCAAGUGAUGAAAGCCUCUAACUGCCACGACCCAAAAAUGGAGGCAUACUGCAAGGAGGUACGUCGGCUCUAGGAUAAGUUCCACGGCCUGGAGCUCGUCCACAUCGCCCGACGCUACAACGAGGCAGCCGACGAACUCACUAAGAUCGCGUCAACUCGAGGCAAGGUCCCGCCCGAUGCAUUCUCGAGGGAUCUGCACGAGCCAUCCGUCGACUUAGGCUCGGGGGCUGACGUCGAAACCACCGCCCUCCCACAAACCGACGCCAUCGAGGCACUGCUAGUGGCAGCAGAAGUAAUGGAGGCAGAACAACGACCCAGUCGACCGUUCGACUGGCGCACGCCGUUCCUUGACUGCCUGAUUCGAUGCGAGCUACCAGAAGAUCGAUUCGAGGCCCGCCGUAUCGCUCGACGGGCCAAGUCAUACGUAAUCUAUGGCGAAGAUAAUGAAUUAUAUCGACGAAGCCCGACAGGAAUCUUGCAGCGUUGCAUCACCAUAGAGGAAGGCCGAAGGCUCCUCAAGGAUCUACACUCAGGGGCUUGUGGCCACCACGCUGCUCCGCGGACCCUCGUAGGGAACGCUUUCCGACAAGGCUUCUACUGGCCAACGGCCGUAGCUGACGCCAUCGAGCUCGUACGCUCGUGCCAUGGGUGUCAAUUUUACGCCAAGCAGACGCAUCUUCCCGCCCACACUCUCUAGAUGAUCCCCAUCACGUGGCCGUUCGCGGUGUGGGGACUCGACCUAGUAGGGCCUCUACAGAAGGCAGCAGGAGGAUACACCCAUUUGCUGGUGGCCAUCAACAAAUUCUCCAAAUGGAUCGAGGCUCGACCCAUCAUGAACAUCCGCUCUCAGUAGGCCGUCCUUUUCUUCACCGACAUCAUCCACCGGUUUGGGAUUCCCAACGUCAUCAUCACCGACAAUGGCACUCAGUUCACCGGCAAAAAGUUCUUGGACUUCUGUGACCGGCAUCACAUCCGUGUGAACUGGUCCGCAGUGGCCCACCCUCGAACUAACGGCCAGGUCGAGUGUGCCAAUGGUAUGAUUUUGCACGGGCUAAAACCAAGAAUCUACAAUCGGUUGAAGAAAUUCGGCAAGAAAUGGGUCGAAGAGCUCUCUUCAGUCCCAUGGAGCUUAAGGACAACGCCUAGCAGGGCCACGAAAUAUACCCCAUUCUUUAUGGUCUACGGCUCCGAGGCCGUGCUUCCAAUAGACCUCGAGUAUGGGUCUCCUCGACUCAAAGCCUACAACGAGCAGUCAAAUAAGGAGACUCGAGAGAACGCGGUCAACCAGCUCGAGGAAGCUCGAGACAUAGCCCUCCUCAACUCCGCCAGGUACCAGCAGAAACUUCGACGCUACCACGACAAGCACAUACGCAAAAGGGAUCUGAACGUGGGUGAUCUUGUUCUACGGCGGUGGCAAAGCAACCAAGGGUGCCACAAACUGACUCCGCCCUGGGAGGGCCCAUACGUGGUGGUCGAGGUCCUGAAGCCAGGGACAUACAAGCUCGCGGACGAAAAAGGGGCAGUCUUCACCAACGCGUGGAACAUCGAACAGCUACGUCGAUUCUACCCCUAGAAUUUCAAAGUUUAUGUUCCCAUGUACAUCCUAUACCGAGACCUUACGAAUGAAUGCAUGAAUGAAUAAGAUCUUUCCCUCGAAUAAUUUACCUUUUCAUUGGUCAAAAUCUCGACGUUAGAAGGGAGUACUAACUAUGACCCAUCAUAGUCGAUACCCCCUCGGGGGCUAGCAGGGGGGAUCCCCCCAAGUGUCUAAAAAACCAAGCAAUUUUUUCUUUCCUAUCAGUAAACCUCGCACGGUCGAGUAGUAGAGGCACCUCGAGCCCCUUAAGGGCCAACAGACGACAAGCCUGAGAACUCCUACGCCCCUGGGCUAUGGUAACUCUACUCGCUCCCUCACCCUCGAGGCAAUCGGGGUCGCCUUAACAAAAGACUGAACAAGGAGUACAGACAUAGGCAGAAAGGAAACAAAAGAGAGUACGAACAUAGGAAUAAGCAAAUAUUCACAAACCUUAUAAACCACUUAAAAAUACAGCAUUUCCUUAAGACAAAAAUACUGUACAAGGGGCCUUAGCACCCAGUAUAGGCUCGCAGGCCUCAGUCUGUGUCACGGCCCUCACCACCCUCAUCCACGCCCGAGCUAGUCUCGGGAGGAAGCACUUCCGGCUCGAACAGCUUCGCCAGCCUUUCCCCAGGGGCCUCCGCAUCAUCGAUCAAGGCAUGGAGCCUCUCCUCGUUCUCUGCGUAGGUCUUGGAGAUAUCGGUGACGAAGCCAUGGGACACCACCUCCAUAUUGUAAGAAAAGCCUGAGCAAACAACCACCAUUGCCCGCUUCACUACGGUAUGAAGAGCGUCCCACACUCGAUCCCUCAGCGUCGCGCCUAGGUAGCAUAGCUGAUCGACCAGUGCGUCACCUCGAGCCGCGUCCCUUGACUCGUCCACAGGCUUGAGGUCCCAGGAGGCCGAAAGAUCGCUUAUCGCGGUCCGUAGCCGACCGUUCAAAGCGACCUCCCCCUCGAGCUGAGCCUUGGUGGAGCGGGCCUCGACUUGAGCAGCUAGCAGCUCGUCUUUAAUCCCUACAAAGGCCGACAUAGAGAAGUUAGAUAACACAAAGCACACCCCGGGAAAGAAACACAAUGGUAGAAACAUACCACAAAUUUUCUCCUCCAGAGCCAUAUUCACGCCAACCAAAUCAGAGUUGGCCCUCUCGAUCUCCCUAUGAGAGCGGACCAGGUCAGUAUUGGCGACCCGCAAGUCCUCGAUCGCCUUGCUCGCCUGUGCGAUAGCUCCAUCUUUCUCCAGCAACGCUCUCUUGAGACGUUCGACGUCAUUAGAGUGGCUGCGAGAUCGAACCCGCUCCGCCUCGAGAUCCUCGAGGGCCUUCUUCUUGGCCUCCUCUGCGGCGCUCUGGGCAAUCUCGCCCCUCACACACUCUGUCUUCAUCUUUUGGAAGGAUUCUCGGGCAGAGGCGAGGUCAGCCCUGAGGAGGCCCUUCUCCUUGUCUUGGUCAGCGGCCGUGUCCUUGUAAAACACGGCCUCUUCCCGGGCCUUGGACGCGGCCUCCUCGACCGUCAUGGUCCGCUCCCUCAGCAGCGUGGCCUCUUCCACCGCCUUCCUCGAGGCCUCCCGAGCUUCAGCCAGACCGGCCUCCCUAUCCUUCUUCUCCUCCUCGAGCGCCAAAAGCUCCUUGUAAGCCUUGAGGAGCUUCUCCUGCAACUCCAGGAGUUGAUCCUUGAGGAGAGGGAGUUGCUCCCAGCCGCCCCUUGUCGCGUGGAUAAAGCUCGACUUUAUAUGAGAGGUCUCUUUCAGAUCCUACGAGUCAGCAAUUGGACAGUAAGAACACAAAACCAAACGUCCUAUGGUAAUUAAGGCCCAAAGAUACUUACAAAGUAAGCCGGACCGAGCCCAUUGUUGACGACGUCGGACAUGAGCCCCACCACAUGCUUCAUCCAGAGGCGAAGCUCCUUGAGAUGCUCCCACUUUUUGGCCUCCUUCUGAUCAUCCAAAAAGAUGUUAGGCUCGGACGGGUCGGUGGAAGCUCGAAUGCGGAUCCGAUCGGGGCACCAGUUUUCCAUCUCCUCCUCCGCGCGCGCCUUGACACCCCGGAUGAGCUCUUGGACGGCCUCAAGCGACCCCCCGUGACGCAAAAACAGGUCAAUGAGGGAGGGGAAUCUCCCGUCAUCAUCCACGGUCUUCCAAGUCCCGGUAUCGCUGGCACCACUGCCGCCCGACGUCCCGGCUUCAUCUUCCUCGGUGAGAAUGCGAUCCUCCCACGAUCGACGAUCUCGAAGGAAUCUAGGAGCUAUCCCCUCGAUGCCGUAGAUUGUGCCCUUGAUCUCGAACUGAGGGUCCUGUGCCCUUGAUCUCGAACUGAGGGUCCACCAGGGUGCGCAUCAUGCAGGCAAGCACCACCACCCGUCCGCGCGCCCUGGCUCAGCCGGGAUAGAAGGGGUCGCUCCCGGACAGAGCCACGCAGGGGUCGGCGGACCAUAGACCGGUAGACCCUCCUCCGUGGUCUCAGGCUCUUGUGGCGUUGGCGGCACUGGCUGGGGUGGACUAUGUGGUGGUGGCUCGAGCAGUUCCUCUAACUGCUGGCUCCUCUGCUGCUGCUGCUCCUGGAGCUCCCGCAGCUCCUGCUGCCGGUCCUGCUCCAGUAGCUCCUCGAGCUAGGCUCCUUCUGGCCGCCGCCCCUCCUCUCCUUCUUCUCCUUCCUGUUGCGGCUGCUGCUGCCCCUCCUACAGUUGUUGCUGCGUCUCCCGCUCGCGUUCUUCCUCUCCUCUCUUCCUCUGCUCCUCGAUGGAGUGGAGCCCGAUGGGCCAAGGCGUCCGCUUCACGACGGGAGAAGCCUCGACCUCCUCGUCCAUGGGGCGGGCGUCCUUCGAAGGCCUGUCGCCGCCGGACCCGUUACUUAUUAUGAUAGGAUCCCCCUCGACCCCAGAUCGGGGAGGCUCGGGGGCUCCCUCCUGCUCUUGGGGGCGAGGCGCCUCGACCCGCUUCGGCGACGGCGGGGUGGAAUCCCCCACCAAUGGACGAGGCGGGGCGCUCUCGACACCAGUCGACGGCCAAGGAUCGGAGAAGCCUGUAAGCACUCAAAAGAAAAAAGUCAAUCGCCAUGAUGAUCGACAUAAGGGCAACACGACUCUCAUGAUGACGGGAAUGAACCGCUAACCUGAGUCUUUGGAGGCCACUCCCACCUUAAGCCUCUUGGCCAUCGAGGGCUGGGCCUGUUCGAGCGUCUGUUUCAGCCUGAGGAGAGAGAAACAAGCGUAAGAGAAGCUGUUACCCGAGAAAAUGCAAAGACAUCGGAGGGUGAGAAUCAUAACAUCGAAAAUCUUACCCCACAGGAAGGGCGACCCGCCUACCGGCGCCUCGACCAGCAGGCCUCGAGCCACCUCGCGUCGAGGCUCCGGGCCCCUCACGAACGGGCACAAGUCUCGGCUCGGCGUCUCCAGCCUGGCCAGCGCCCGGACUGGUACUCCCGCGACCCGUUUCCCCCUUAGUCGAGGCCAUCCCCUCGGAGUCGUCGCUGUCAUCGUCGCCAUCGCCGCCAUCAUCCUCAUCGGGGGAUUCUUCCUCAGGCUCCCCCCUCUGCCUGGACUUCGCUAGACGAGUCUCCAACGCAUGUCGCACGAGAUUUUUCUUCUUCUCCCCCUUCUUUUCCAAGUCCUUUGUGGACUUCAGCUUCUCCGCGGACUCGCGCCUCUUGUCACGAUCCAUGUCGUCCUCCUUCAUCGGAGGCUUUGAAGAUCGAGCGUCGAUCGAUCCCUGCACGAGCAAAAAUAAGUCUUAGACAAGGUCGAAGGAAAUCGAGAAUCGGAACCGUAAACAGGAAAAUAACUUACCAGGUCGAUCGACCCCUGAUCGGGUCUCAUAGGGAAGCCGUUGACGUGCUCAGGCUGAAAAUCGCCUGCAACGGCCGCCCUAACCCUGGCGGCGACCUCAUCGUCCGCAGGCGCUUCGUUAGACAUCCGGCAAGCCUCAAGAGCGCGAGACGAGACGCCAGGGCCCAUCUCGUCCAUCCUCAACGGCCGAGACAUCAACGGGAGCACUCGUCGGUGAUUUACGGCGGAAAGGACGAGCGCGGCCAUCAAGCCCUCCUCACGCAACUUCUUCAGGGCGUCGAGAAUGGGGUCGAGCCGCGGCUAGUGGGCUUGGACAACGCCGUACCUCUAGUGGUCCGGACGCUCCGAGAUCAAGCGCCCGGUGUAGGCGGGGACGAGGUCGUCGUCGUUCCGUAAGUAAAACCACUAGGAGUCCCAUCCGGCAUGGUUCGACGUCAACCCCACCGGGAUGUACUCGCGUGGCUUCUCCGACUUGCUAGUCUUGAGCACCAGGUUGAGGCACCCAGCCCGUACCGGCUUCCUCACUCCUGCAGUUCCGCUGGGGGCGUUGAAGAGCUCGCCCCGGUACAAGUGGAGCCACAAAUCCCAGUGAGGCAUCAUCCCCAGGUAGCUCUCACACACCGCGGCAAAAACCGCCGCAAUGGUGACGGCGUUCGGCGAAAAAUGCUGGAGCUCCGCCCCGUAGUGGUGGCAGAGCGCCCGCAUGAAACGACUCGGAGGAGAGCCCAAGCCGUGGCGGUGGAACUUGGCAAAGGAGACCACAUAGCCCUUGGACAGCCUUGGCUCCCGGUGAUCCGCCGCCGGCACGAUCCACUCUGGCCGCGAAGACGAAGUGCAGGGGCGCAGGAGUCCCUCCCUCUCGAGCUCCAACAGCCGGCGCUCCGUCAUCGACGACGGGCGCUAGUCAUCGGCGGCGAUGAGUCUCACCGGCAUUUUCAGGUGGGAGAAGGGCGACUUCACUACUACUCGAGGGUACGCACGCGCGAGAUGGCAAGGAAGCAGAGGCAAGAACAGGGGCAGAAGGCGGAAGGAGCGACGACAGGAAGACCACAAGACAUUUAUAGACGGCAACCCACCAACGGACGGAUCCAACGGAUACGGUAACUCCUCCAAUAAAUGCGCCACCUAACGGUCCUUAUCUCUCUCACAGAUGGGACGCUACGAAUUCCGUGCCGGUACAGUGUCGCAACGGCUCCUGCCUAAAAAGGCGCGCCCAACAGGCAAAAAGGCGAACCUACGUGAUCUUUUCCUUCCCCUGUAAGCCAAGGUACAUAUUCAUGAGAACCUCGAGAGGUCGCAGGCUGACCCAUCGAACAGGUUCGACAGCCAAUCUCGAGUAACCAAGUCAGGAUGCCCAGCGAGCGGUCGAAAAAUGAGGCCCACCUCGAGGACUCGCUGGGGAUGUCCAAGGCGAGGACGAGAUGGUCAAAAGGAAUCCCCCCAAAGGGAGGCAUCGAGCUGCUGGACUCUAUCGAACGAGACCAGUAACCCCGACCACGUCGACCCCGCUUUAUGAGAACGCCUCCGGGCUACAGCUGACCUCCUCGAAUGGGGCACGGGUUCUCACUUGGAUUACCCGCUAGGAGCUCAAUCUGGGGUAGAUGACACUCGCUCCACCGGGAGUACGUCGUGACCCCUGCGUGAAACAAACAAAUCAAAGCCCUCCACGAUGGACAUCGAGAGCGCUUCCGCAGAUUAGGCAAUACAACCCUCGAAGGAGUCAAAAACUCCUCCAAGGGCUCGGGGGCUACCCCCGCGGGGUCGCUCGCGCGCCCCCACGGAAACUCGACCACAAAAAAGAGCCUCCACUCGAGUGCAAGCACUCGAAUAGAGACUCGGGGGCUACUGUCGAGGAUAUCAGUAAGGGGUACCCUAACUGAUGUACAUACACUACAAGAAACUUGCUAAUCCGUGACGAUUUCUCGGUGAUGGAUUUACAAACUGUCACUAACAACCACUGACAGAUGUAAUUCGUGACGAUAUUAAUUUUUUCGUCAAGGAUGAGCCCACUGGAUAUUCCCAACCCGCUAACUAGUGACAAUUUUAUCAGAUCGUCGCGGUGUAUGGAUUUCGAAUUCGUCAUACUCUAGUUGGCCCAAAACAAUAUGCGCACUAUCGGUGUUUAGUGCAAAGAAAAAUAGAAAAUAUGAUUGCAAAAGGUAUCAAACCGAAAAGACAAUCCGAUAAACUAUUGUAACAAAAUAAUUUUGUUAUUACUUGUAUUUUGUUGGGAUAAUUUUGUUACAGGCAUAUAUGGCAAAACUAAAAAUAUAUUCCAUUUGCACAUGGAAACAAAAAAUUGCACCUACGUGAGAUUUCCAUUUGAGCUAGUAUUUGUAUUUGUUUACUGGCCUAGCAUCACGGUAGGCCGCCUCAGCCAUUCACUCGAGUUUAUGCGCGUCGACGACAUGGCCUUGGUCCAUUUUGUAAACACAAAUAAAAAGUGCAGCCCAUAUAAAUUGAACCUGAAACACUUGACUUCGUAGCGGUGUGCCUUACCACUGCGUUAUGCACACUAGUGUGACAACUUAUUAUUUGAAGUUUAGUAAGCACAAUACUAGGCCAGCAAACAUUACAACUUUUUUUUAUAAAAAACAUUAUAAUUAUAAAUUUUGAAAAAAAAGUUUGCAACGUCCAUCAAAUAGGAUAAUUGUUUUUUUUCAAAAAAUUACUGGCCCAGGCUUCGAACCCAGAACCAGCCCUACAAAACCAAAAUGCCAAACCACUGCACUACUCACUUGUUUGUGUUGUCUUUUAUUAUUAUAAUAUUUAUUUAGUAUACACCUUCCUUAUCAUCCUCCUCGGACGACCGUUCAUUCACGACCUUCACUUCGACUCUCGCAGCGCCGCCGACGGCGACUAUCAGAGCGCGAGCCCAAGAGCUCCGACUCUUUUCUCGUCUCGGACGUGCUGUUGCUCCUGGACUUGCUCUCCUCCUCCUGCUGUUGCUUGCCUGCCAUUGCCCGGCCCGGAGAGAAUGACAGGGACGCCUACCAGGUCAACCUCCAGGCCUUGUCAAUGGCGGAUGCGGCCGGUCCUUGGCCCCACAAGGCGCCUCCGCGUGCUCCCUCCCACGAACGUGAUGUACGCGAAGAACGGCUUGAAUCGAGAAUCUGAAUAAAAGUUUUUGUAUUUUCAAUUAAUCUGCUUGUAAAUACUUGAAGAACAAGAGCAAGAACAUGAACCAAAGCUUUUUCUGUUUUUAAUCUGAAGCAAAAAUUUGUAACCAGUUUUUCUCACUCAUUCUAACUCCAAAUGGUAUGUUAUUUUUUUCUAUUUUUUUCUAAAAUCAUGAUCUAUCAACUGAAAACAUGCUUUUUAAGAAAUUGUUAUAUCUUAGUUCUUCAUAUAUGGCUUAUUUUUCCAUCCAUUCAUCACUUUUAUCUUCAAAUAUAACAUAAAAUAAUUUUAAUAAUUCAAAACUUGGUUAGAAAAUCCUCUAAACUUGCAUAAUAACAUAUUUUUAUGUAUAAUGUUCUAAUAAAAAAAUCAAAUAAUUUUGAAAAAGAGGUACCAUACAUUGUCUAACAAAUGGUAUAUCUCUCACACAAACUACAUGAGACAUAUACCAUUUGUGAACAAUGUAUAGUCUCACUUUCAUAAAAUGGCUUGAAUUUUUUUAUGACAAGCAUAUACACCCACAUUAUGCCGCCAUAUCAAUUCUUAACAUUUUUAGUUUACUUUACGAUAUUAUUGUUUUUUUCUUUGAAGUCAUCAAAAUAGUAGUUCGAGCAAUGUCUAACAAAACACUUAAUUUUCCAUUGAUUUUGAGGAAGUGAGCUCAAAUACAACAUGCCUUAUUACCUAUAUAUUUUUCAAAAUUUUUGGAUAUUGUUAGAUAGGACGUGUAGUUCAAGUUGAAGUUAUUUUCAAAAAGCAUUCAAUAAUGCAUUUAAACUGUAGAAAAUAGUAAAUCGGUUUCAUUUUUUUGAAAAUUCUAUGAGAGGACAUAUAUGCAGUCUAUUUCAUUUUAAAAAUAUAUUGGGUACAUGAAUAUAAUUGGCUUAAAAUGUUUACUUUACAAGAUUGCUUAAUCAAUGGAAAAUAAGAAAUACAUAAUUAGUAAAGUGCUCCUGUCUAAAACUCGUUAAAUAUUAGGCCCAGCGUCCUGGGCGUGGGCCGCGUAUUCGCGGUAGGCCUCAUAACCCGCCAGCCUGCUCUGGAUUUCCUGAAUCUGAACCAUCCAAUUUUGAUUGACGGCCACGAUUGUAGCAGUAGCGCAUAAAACUGUCAUCCCCGUGAGCUUCCCAAACCCUAAAUUUCGUUUUUCCUCAGUCUUCACUCCCCAGCCUAACUCAGGAACGCGCCGCUGCUGGCCUGCCGCUCCCCCAUCGACCCUACCGUCGUACCGCCAUGGCCACGGUGCCCUGUUCCACCCACAGAGACAUCUCCAUGCCACUCCUCUCGUGUGUCCUAGUUGUGCUACAGGCACUGCUGCCGUCGCGGGAAGCGAGCCCCGCCGUCGUCGCGCAGCUGUCUGCAGGCGCCGCCACCGCGCCGUCGCAGGGCGCCGCCGGCAACGGGGGAGAUAGUGCAGCCGCUUCCUGCUGCUUUUCCAUGCGAGCGAGUUGAGGGCAGCCGCACGCACCGACGCACAGGCUCGUGAAGUCCCGAUCCGUUCUGAACACAUGGUGGGUGUCCGUCAUUUUGCGUGGCUAUCCACUAAAACUAACUAUAAUAAUAAGUUGGGUGUGCGGCAGCAUAUUUCCCAUGAUUUUUGAAGUCUUUUAGCCAAGAUAUGUUUUUUUAGUGGCUUUUAGCAAAGGCCACAUUCUAACGAUGUCUCAUAGCCAAUUUUGUCUUUUUUUCUGUUAAUGAUUUGCUUCAUGAAUGAGAUUAUGUGAUGCAGACUACGGUGCUGAGUCAUUUUCGUUGGAUGCAGACUAUGAUGCUUCGGCCUUUUCUUUUUAUUCUCUGGUUUAUAUGGAGCAUACUUGUCUGUCACUUAAGCAAUAGUAAUAGCUUGACAUAUCUUAUUCUGUCCUUUUUACCAACUACUAGAUAAAUGCUUGCCAUGUGCUGAAUCUUGUUUCCUAAAAGCAUAUGUGUUGUUCACUUUGUGGAAAUUUGGUUUGAAAGCGUAUAUGUUGCUGCCUAUGUAUUUUGUGGUAAACUGAAUUAUCCUGAAAUCAUAUAAAAGUGUCUAUCUAAAUACUGAAUUUCCUCAAAUUUUUAGACAGAGUUUGUUCCUGAUGCUUUGUUUGUUGAUCCUAAAUAGGCAUUACAUUCUCUUGGCAGUAGAAUGAUAUUUUUCCUGAUGUUGGGUUCUCAACUGAUGUUAAUGUUGAUGGCUGGACUUAGGAGCUCUCUAAAAUUUCCAUUUGGCAUGUGUAUGUGCUCAUUUAUUCUUCAGUUGGGUUGCAGCAUGUUGUUACAUGGGCAUGUCGAGAUAGUAAAUGCCUAGACGUGUUUCAUGUCGUGCAGAUAAUACAAGCAGCUCUGUUAUGUGGUUAUUUUUUUUGUUUUCGAUCUGGACCAGGUUCACUAAAUAUAAUUGGUUUUAACUGGCUGCUGCAGUAUCUGAAGGAGAAAGAAGACGGCGCCCAACGCCUCUGCUCCAAAGCAGGCACCACAGAAGCAGAAUUGUCCUGCUGGCUGUGAUCCGAAAUGCCAGUUUGAAGUGUUCUAGAGCCAGAUCCACUGGUACGCACGGUUCACCUCCCUGUUCCCUGUUUCACCCACCGGUAUGUACGCACUUAUUUUCACUCUACCCAUUAGUGAUGUUUAGAUCUGUAUAAGAUUCAACACGCUGUGAUACUGGGUAUAUCUAUUUUUCAUGUAGUACUUUAGUAUUAUCUAUUUUGAGAUUAAACACGCUGGUUUUAACCUACAACUACCAUAUUGAACAAAACUUACUUGUGACAAAUCUUUUAGAUAAAAUUUGAACUCAACAUUGUUUAUAUCAACAUAGUUUCUUUGUUUGAUUCUGAAAGUGCUAUAACAUUUGGUGAGCUUGUGCACCUUACUAAGAUGCUUUAAAUUCUAAUCUUCUCUGAAAGUAUCUUACUAAAAUGGUUUAAAUUCUAAUAUUCUCUGAAAGUGCAGAUCUGGAACAUUUGGUGAUACAUUGUGUUGCUGAAACUUGACAUAUUCUGCUGCUGCAACUUGAUGAACUAUGCUACUGCAACUUCAUAUAUGGAUGCUGCUGCUGCAACUUCAUGCAAUUUUGGGAACCUGUAAUUUGUUGGUGGCUUAUGUGCCAUGGUGCAUUGCACGAUGUGGUGCUUUAUGUAACUUUGUAUCUCAUCUUAUGAGAAUAAACUUGAGAUCUUAUGGUGCUGGAUUGAGUUCUUAUAUAAAUAAAAUUGAAUUGUUUGUCUAUGUGGGCUGUAUAUUUGUAUUUGCAAUAGUAAUGGGCUGUAUGUUGUAUAUGCUAUAAUAAAUAGCUGAGAAAAUAAAAAAUGGCUGAAUUCAACAUGUAAAUUUUCUGAAUGCCAAAUAAAAAUAGGCUGAUUGGAAAUGGGCUGGAAAUACGUCAAAAUUGGGUUGAGAAUAAGCUAGAAAAUGGCCCAUUUUUAUGUUGGGCUGUUAAUAAGUGGGCCAAUAUGCCACACCAUCAUCCUUGUCAUCGUCCACAUCAUUAUCCAUGUAAGCAUCCAUGAUGAUAUGGCAUUUCAUUCGUGACGUUUACUUUUCGUCGCAGGGAAUGGACUUGGGUUGGGCUAACAGGGCCAUGGGCUCAAUGGUGAACGGUUUAAACCUGUCACCGAUUACUUUGAUCUGCGACGGUUUUUGAUAAAUCGUCGCGAGGUUUAAUCCUUGACGCUCAAUCCGUAACGAUCUGUGAAACCAUCACAGAUGCUACAUAGUGACAGUAUUUUGGUGAUCGGUGACAGAAAUUUUUUGUCACUGAUUAGCAAGAUUCUUGUAGUGAUAGUGAGAGCAUCCAUACGAAAGUCGAGGCCUCCGACUCGACGCCCCUCCCCAGUUGCACGCACGGUCCUCGACAAUCGUAGCCACGAACAUGGAAAGAACGUCCUGCGAAUCGACUAAGCCUCGAGCGCCGGCUACCAUCGAAUACGGAAACAGGCUCUUACGAAUCGAAAGGCCUCGAGCACAAGGACGUCGCCCGCCGCCUGACGCGGGCACGGGAACCAGGGCAUUUAAUGCGCCUGCCGUGUUCUCACCUAACCCGUCAGUCACGGGAAGCGUGAUAGGGAACAAGCACCCGUCCUAUCGUUCUUUUCGCAGCCUUCCCCACCAAACAAGCCAGAACAUGGCAGGGCGCAGUUAGUGGGUCGGAACGUCCAGUCAAGACCCCCCUCGAGACGCCCAAAGUCAGCGCUCUGGCCAGCAAGGCGUUACAUGGCACCUGACCCUCAAGUAGGCACGUUUGCUUCCUGAGGAAGGAUCGGGCGACGAAUGACAGCACUUCAACCACUCCGACGUAGCUGCUAUCGCGACAUACAAGCAUGCAACAGAUAAACCAGUCCAGGACGGCGCACAGGAGCGGGAUACAGGGGCAUGCGUAAUCAUUAUCAAGGUACCAAGACAAGACGGCUUGAGGCCACGCCGGUACGGAGGCCUCGAGUAGGUCAGCGCGCCGCACCCCUAUCGACCCCUACUCUAUUGCCUAUGCAUGUAACCUAGGCCUCCCCUUGGAACUAUAAAAGGGGAAGCCCAGGAGAGGAUACGGGGGACAAGAGAUAUACGCAUUAGAGCACUCAUACUCCCUCACCACCCAUCCACGCCUGUAUUCACCCCUGUACAAGCACUUGGGUGCAAGAUAAUACAAACUCUCCUCCCCCGCUGGACGUAGGGCCUUCUCUUGCCCAAACCAGGAUAAAUCUUUGUGUCUUUUCUUGCAUCACCAUCUGGAAAGGGGAGCACGCACACAAGUUUUACUCGUUGGUGUGACCCCCCGGGGGAAAACACCGACAAAUAAUAUAUAUGCAUACAUUCAUGAAAAAGGAAUAUCCUGGAUUUGUUUUGAAUGACAUAAUUAUAUAACAAUGGUCAUUUUUAAAUCCUAGUAGGACAUUCUGCUACCACUGAAGUGUAGUAGACUCAGGCACUAUAGUUCAUAGUGCUACUCUCAAGAAUGAGUAUACGACCAUAAUAAAUCUCCAAGGUCUUGUGGGACUCAAUGCAUGAAAUAUUUUAGAAGAUGUCCUGUAGUAUUGAAAAUGGAAUUUUCAAGCUUUACAUUACCCUAUGAGAUAUAUAUGCUGCUCUAUAAACAAAUACAAUUACCUAAAGUUUUGUAUUAAAUGUCAUAGAAGACAUGAUGGUAAAUAAGAUUUUGUUGGUGAAUAUUCUCGAAGAAAUUUCUCUUGUAUAUAGAAUAUCAAAGAGCAAUGUAAUAAAUGAAGUAUUUAACUUUAUCAUCAGAAAAUACUCAAAUAGAAGUUGAGUUAGAAUUUUUAGACAGCUUUCUGAAUCAGAAUAUAUGACUUGCAUAUGUUGUACUCCUAGAAGAAUCAUUAUUACAUAUCACUACUAUGAAAUAAAGCAUGCAUGAAGCUGCUAAAUAUCAAUCAUAGAAGUUAAGACAUGUAAGAAUGGGUAAUGAAUUUUUAAGGUUUCUCUAGAAGAAGAACUUAAAUUAUAUGCAUAUAUAUUUGUUUUGUCUUUAAAAUUACUAUCUAGAAGUAUUAGUGGUGGCAGUGCUUUAAGUUUUAAUUCUCGUUGAAUUAAGUAGAUUUUACAAACUCAUAGAAGAGUUAAUGGUGAUUUUAUUAGCUUGAAGACUAAUAUCAAGCAUUUAAUAUUCUUAGUUGCAAUUCUUACUUGCAGUGGUAUGUGUCAAUCUUACAUAGAAUGAAUUGGAAUUAUAUGUUUGACAUAUAAACAAUUGCCCAUUUUGCCUAUCUAAAUAAGUUUUGCAUUGUUUUAUCCACAAAGAAGCCUUAAUUAACCAUGAAGGUUGUAGUCUUUGUGCAUAACUAUCAUAUAGGUUGGAGGGAAACUGAAUUUCCUAAGCAUAAAAAUAAUUGGACUAUAAAAAAACUAGAAGUUUAUGUCCUACCCCAAAUAUGUUGUUGUACAUUGAAUAGUACACGUGACAUGUGUAUUUCAUGUCAUAACCAUUAAAUACUAGAAGUAUGAUUGAAUUAUAUGAAACAUUUGAAAUGAUUAUUCAUAGAUCAUAAAUCUUAUUACUACUUGAAGUAAUUAAGGCAUGAAAAAGGGGAGAAAUUUCAAGUAAAAGGCAAGACAUAAGAAAAUGUGGGUAAUAUAUAUUUAAUAGGCAUAGCCUUUCUAAAUCUAUCUUUAAGUGCAUGUAUAAGGACUUGAAGUUCUAGUCAUGUCUUUUCCGGCAGAAUUAACUUUCUCUACAUUGCACUAAUUGCAAGUAAGCUUGUUGCUUUGCAUUUUGUUAUCUAUUAUGUUGGAUUGAAUACCAACAUUCCAUGUUACACUUGAAUGUGUAUUACUAUGUUGUGCUCCCGUUGAGUUGCAAGUAUCUCCACUCCUGCAUGGAUAUUAGCAUAGAAGAAGCUAAAUUUAUAGCCAGUAGCUAUCUUGCACUCUUCCCAUAAUUAGGUUGGCUAGUUAGUACGCUAUGUCUAUAUAGUUCCUGUUGAACUAAGAAAUAUUUUUCUUUUCAUGUGUUGCAUACAUAAGCAAUAUAUUGGUCUAUGGCCAAGCGGCUUAAGAUCAGGGGGAGUGAGUUAAUCUGAAAUUAGCUAAAUAGAGAAGUAACCCAAUUGAAGGGAUGAAUUAUUGUGGAAUUAAGAUGGUGGAUAACUCUAGACGAUUUGGGAUUUAUUAAGAAAAGAUAUUUGAGGAUAUUGCAUUAAUGGCAAUUAGAAAAUUCUUGAAGAAAUUCCAUGUAAAUUUGAAUGUUGCAUAUUUAUACAUUUGAAGUAUAUGGUCCAUUUUUUUAUGUAUGAGUACUUGGAUCAAUUUUUUAGGAUAAAGAAUAAAGAAGCUAAAUAAUAAAAUAGUUUUAUAAACUAUGAUAUGUGCAAAUCAGGGGGAGAACAUCCUUGAUUUUGUAGGAAUAUUGAACAUUCUUAAGUGCACUUUUUAAAUUCUAGCUCACUGCAUAUAGUGUAUAAUAACCUAUAUGAAUGGGCCUCCACUUGUAGUGGAGAUACAUGAAUUUGAAUAAUUUUAAGCCUAUCAUAGGGGAUUUCUUUUGGAGUAUGCUAUUAAAGAUCUAAUAUUGGCAUUAGGGGGAGAGAAAUCCUAUGUUGAAUGCCAAAUAUUAUUUUCAUAGAAGGAAAAUGAUCUUAAGAGAAAAUAUUCCUUGAAGCUUGAAGCAGAAAUAGUAUCACGCACUAAAUCAAACAAUAGUUUGACUAAUGCUCUUGUGAAGCAUGAAGCAGAGCAUAUGCCAGAUAUUUUUGAAAAUGAGAGGAGUAAUUUGAAGUUAUAAACAAGAAGUGUAUACUAUGAAGCUAAAAUCUACGGGGACGUCUGUGCAUUCUAGUUUAGUGUAUACUGGUUAAAUGAAAUAAAAAUAAACUCCUCCAUUCUUAUGAAGAGAACAUCUCAUGAAGAAGGUUAGGCAUCUCAUGAAGAGGAUCAUCAUGAAGAUGAAAUCCAACACACUAAGCGCGCACAUUAUAGUGUUGGGAAUGCAGAACAAUAAAUUAUCUCUUGUUUAGAAAAUAACAAAGAGAUAGGAUAAUCUCACAUUGUGAUUAUUAGGAGAAAAUAAUAGUUGUCGACAACACUACCUCUAUAAUUGUAAAUGUUUCUCUUAUGAGAACCUAGAUCCAGAAAACAAAGUCCAUAGCAAAGUCGCUUGAAGCGAUUAUUGUUGGCAUUUCUUAGCGUCACUACUAAAGAUAGACUAUAAAUCCAUCAUUAGUAAUGGCACCAAAAAUGUCGGGUGUUGGUAUACCAUAACUAUCGUUACAUCAGAGAGAUAACCCAAGGCCUUUAACGGCGCUGGCCUUAGCAGUGCAAUCUGGUAACAAUAAUUAGGAAUGCCGAAUUGGCCAUCCUAACCAUCCUUACUUACGAUAUGCAAAGCUGUAGCACGGCGCCAGAUAAAUGCAGAGAGUUUACAAUCUUAAGUAACGGUCCUUAGGUACGCCAAUCAAUAGUUCAUGAAUAUAAAGAAUAAAACUGCAAGCGAACAAAUCAUUGUAGCAUUUCAACCCGUGAGUAUUCAAGGGUUAUCGUAUUUAAUCCCAUAGGAGUGCGUAACAAAUGCAUCUAGCUUGGUUUGUAGCAUGAUCACUUAUUGAGACGCAUAGGUAGACAUAGUCUAAUUAGGGGUCACGGCAGGCUCUUAAAAUAUAGAUAGUGGACACACUCAUCGGGGCAACCUCAAGGAAUAAAGAGAAAAUAAGGAAAUAAAAGAAAUAAAGAACAACUACUUGAGCCGGCAUUGAUCUUAUAUAACUAUGCAAAUAAUUGUUAGUAGAACAUCUAAUCAAUAUAACUAGAGUUAGAACUAAGUCUGAGGCUCUGGGGAGAUCCCCGCAGCUGGACAUCCAGCCGAUAGGGACUUUACAGAACUCCUACUGGAAUACCUGAUCGUGGGGGAAUACCAGGGAUGACAGGGCUGUCACUACCCUGCCACCUACCCCUCUACCCGAAAGAUACCCGCGCAUCCGCUGAUUUCCGCAUACCCGAGCACCUCGCCCGUGUAAUUGCAAACACCUCCUAGCCUCCCGGGACCCCAACCCUUUGGAUUGACACGCUCGGCUAAGAGUGGCCAUCACAGCCCAACGAACCGUUACCCCAAUUUUAAUCCUUUGUCUAUUCAUACUAAUUCGAUGAACGAUGAAGAACAAGGAUGAACACAUCAAGAACAUAGCACAAGAAGUAAGAACUAGUUCAUAUACUAUGAACAAGAUAUGAACACAACUAUACUCUAAUUCAAUUGGAUAAUCAUAUAAAUAAGAUAAAAACUUACUCAUGGAGGAGAACUGAAUUGUAUUCAUACCAAGAAGUUCUAAGAUCCUCCAAGGAGACAAGCUUUCCUUGCUAGCUUUGCCUUGCUCUACUACUGAAUCUAUACUAAAGAACAAGUGUAGAAAUGUGAGGUGUAUUGCUCCAAAUGAUGGUGUGUGUGUUGAAUGGUGUGGAGCCAUCUAUUUAUAGCCCAACAAGGACGGUUCAUGGCGAUCUAAAUUUGGUAGGAGGUGAAACCGUCCUAUGCAUGCCACCAUGCAACCGCUUGAAAAAGGUGGGACCGAGUUGCCGCCACGGGGGGUGCGCCCGCACCAGGGUGCGGCCGCACCACUGGUGGCCCCCCUGGCCACCGCCUUCGCGUGGUCGGUUCGUCUCUAGGCCCUGAUCCUUCCCGUGGUUACGGAUGGAUCCAGUUCGGUGUUUUGGUGGGAUUUUCCAUUUAUCUUUGAUUUGUGCCUUUUCUGAAUACGCUUUCUUGAAGUGCGCUUUCUCGUGUCUUUUGCGCCUUUCCACGUGUCAUACCUGAAAUUGAUAUUUACAACAAAACUUGUGGAAAGGUUAGUUCAAAGCCCUACCAUCUAUUUAUUUUAUUUAUUAAAAUGAUGUUUAUAAUUAUAAGAUAAGGGGUACCAACAACUCCCCCACACUUGGUCCUUUGCUCGUCCUCGAGUGAAGGCACUAAAGACCAAAUGGGUUCAUCUUCCUUGUCAAAAGAAUCUGCAUACAGGUUAUUCACAGCUUCACCUGGAUUUAUGAACUUCAAAGUGUCUACCAAGUUGGGUAAUUGAAACAUGGAACAACCUGGAUUAAAAUCCUCUUACAUAGUCCCUGCGCAGAAACUUGGGGUUUUGCAAGAUUUUGAAAAAUAAAGAUAGCAUAUGUUUCUUGAAUGAUGCUCUCAAGUCCCUCCUAAUAUGUGAGUGGUUCCUUACCAAGGCAUAAAGAGUUGAUGCCUUCUUUUUGAUCAUCCUACUUCUAAAAGGCUUAUCUAGAGUUUUGGGUAGGUAUGAUGGUGGAACUUACUUACUCUGCAUAUGUUGUCGAGUCAAACCCAGAACCAUACCGGAGGGAGUGCGCCAUACCCUUAGAUCAGAAUGUGCAAGUGUGUGGAAUUUUUGGUGGAAUCCUAUCACUACUUUUAUUGCAACAUUCCUUGCAUCAAGACUCUCUUUUGAAAUGAGAUGAAAAACUUGAGAGGAUAUGGGCCAUAACACAAUUUUUUUAUUUGUAUUUUGGCUUUUUCUCAUAAUAAUUAUAUAUAUAUAGCCCAUUCCUAUGAUUUUGAUGAAAACAAAGGAGAGCUUUAUGAUAACAAAUGCAAGGAAUGUAUAUGAAUGCACAAUUCUUAGGGUGAGAUAUUGGCAUUUUUAUUUUGUGGAUAUAUGUGCACAACCCUCAGUGUAAGAGUUGGUGAAAUUUUGGGUGGAUGGAGAAAACAUGUUGUGCACGACUUCUCAGUGUGAGAGUCGGCUUUGCUGUAACACCCCAGUGUUAUGGUUGCAUCAUUCACAUGCAUAACAUGAGCAUCAUCAUCUUCAUAAGCAUAUCAUGAUCAUCAUUUACCUUGGGUCAUGUCAUUUUAUGCAAAAGUAUGGUUUCACUUGCUUAAAUAUGCUUUCUAUGCUUAUGUUUGCUUGUACCAUGCUCAUGUUUGUGUUCUAUGCUUUGGUAAUUAGUUCAUCUAUGCUUAACUCAACUUUUGGAGCAAUGUUCAUGUUGGUCACAUCUCCAAAUUAAGUACCUAAGUCAUACUUUCACUUAUAGGACCUAAAAACCUUUUUUGCUUAGGCUUUUAAAAAGUACUUCAUAAAAUGUUUGCAUGUCAAAACUUCCUAAAGCAAAGUUGUAGCAAAUUUUAUAAGGAACAAAAGCUGUUUCAUGGCCUUUUCAUGAAAAUGUGCAGAGCAAGCUCAAAAGUGUCCCACAAGGCAGAUUUGGGGCUGUUUCCAACACUUAGAAAUUUUUCUAAGUGUGGGAUCUAACCAGUUUGCUCGAGGGUGGUUUGGAUAGCUUCUAGUUUGAAAUCCAGGCUGAAUCAAGUCUUGAUCUUGUAAUAAAAGUUGGAGUCCUCAUGUAGCUCUACAGCAUGGAGCAAUUAGCUAGCAAAACCAUCGAUCAGAUUAGGAGAUAAUCAAAGCCAAAUAUCGAGUUUCAGUUGGUAUCCGUAACUGAUUGGAGGUAGCGUCAGUGGGGAGGAGCUCGCCGGUGACGCCGCGUGUUCGGACCCGUGGCGUCCGUACAUCGCCGUUGGCCUCACUUGUCAGCUCCCAGCACGUCCUCCAGGUCGCCACGACGCCCCCGGUCGCGUGGACAGCGCCAUUCUCCCCCUGGCUCUCUCUCUCUCUCGUGCUCGUCGUCUUCUCCGCGCGUCCGCCGCUGCUUCGGCGAGCUCGCGCGCUCGCGUCUCGGCAUCUCUGGCCGAGCAACUCCACCCAGUGCUCCGCCAGCUUCCCCGCGUCACCAUCGUCAUGUUGGCUGCGGCUGCCGAGCUUUGGUAAGCCCGCAUUGCCCUCUCCGUCGCGAGCUCACCUCGCCGGAGCUCCGCCGUGGUCACCGGUAUCGUGGCCAGGGCCCACCAUUUCUUCUCGUUCUUGUUCCAAAAGCUCUGCCUUGUCAUGCUGGUGCUUGUCAGGAUCUUCUUUCGCCCUGUCUCCGACCAGAGACGCCAGCGGUCGGCCGCACACCAUCGCCGUGCCGCCAUUCGCGAGGGCAAGGUCCUUAGGGUGCGGUAGAGUUAGGGUUUCUAGUACCAGUCGUCGCGCAAGAGAGUGAGGAGCACGAUGGUGCCCUUGGCCGUCGCCGAGACCUCGCCGUCGACGAGAUUUCCGGCGGUCAAGCCUCGUCUCUAUUCUCGGGUCACUGACGGGUGGGGUCCGUUGACCUGUGGGGUCCCCCUGUCAGUCUCUCUCUCUCCUUAGUUUGAAUUUAGGGUUUGUGCUGUUUUUGGAAAAUUCAUAUCUGGAGUUUGAAAAAUCCUCUUGAGGUGAUCCAAAUUUUGUUGAGUUCCUCAGAUGGUCUAGUUUUUAAUAAAAAUAUAAUAUGCACCAUGUUUUCUGUGAAAAAUAAUUGUUAUGAAUUAAUCUUGUUAUUUAUGUGUAAAUUCAUAUCUUUUGAUAUACUGCUCCAAUUGCUGUGAAAUUUUUAUGCUAUGCUCCGAGUAGUAUGAGAAUGCUCUGAUAAAUAUUUCAUGAUUUUUAGAGUGCUGUAUCUCUGAUAUGUAAUUUAUGUUGGUACUAUGGCUUGAUUUCAUAUUUAAAUCAUAAUAAAUGUUUGAUGCUUAUGCUGGUGUUCUCUUUUGGUGUCAAGCUUGUUUGUAGUAAUAGUAACAUGUAAAUAAUCUGAAAUCUGUUGCUUGACACUAUAUAAGCCAUGUUUCUUAAUUUAUGAAAUAAGCACCUUGUUACAUGUUAAUUACUUAUCUCAAGUUUGCCAUGUGCAAUUGCUCUGAAAAUUUUAUGGUAAUGUCCAAAUACCAUGCUUGUGCUUCAGUAAUGUUUGUAGAUUUUUCUGAGCACUCUUGUUGGUAUCUUGUAAUUAUGUCCUUUUAUGGAAUUAAAUUAAUAAAUGCCUUGUUAUUGCAUGUCAACAUGUGACAUUCUGAUAAUCUUAAGUUAUGCUGGUGCUUAUAAGCCACUUGGUUGACACUAAAUAUGUUUUUGCUAUGUCAUCAAAUAAUUAAUUAAGGGUUUAUAGCUGUUCUGGACAGCAAGGGAGUAAUCUGACCAUUGCUUGGUGAUAAUUUGGUUUUCUGAAAAUCUUGUCUAAAUCAAAGAUGUUGUAAACUUUGUGAGCUACCUGCAGUUUAAAUUUGGGAUCAUUUAGUCCAAUAGUUUAAAAGUUAUGGCUCUUCCAAGUUGGGUUCCAGAACUAGGUGCUCUCUGUUUUCUGGGACAGAACCUGGAACUUUGUUUAAUUGACCAAUUUAACUUGUGAAUCUUGCUAUGAUAUCUAAAGAUGAAAUAUAAAAUAUUUCAUAAGCUUUCCAGAAUGUCCUCAUUCAUGUUUGUUGGAUCUGUAUAGCUUUAAUUAUGAUUAGUUCUUUGAGCUGCCCUGUCUUUUAGUUGUUUCUGUUUAAUGAGUUAACUUGGUGAGUCUUGCUAAGUUAGUUAGUCAUCUUUUGUGAGCUUGUAAUGGGAGUCACUCCGUAAAUGAGUGUCCAGUGAAGUUCUAAUUAUGUUACCAAGCAUUCAUCCUCAUCUAGUAUGCACACAUUUCUUACUCAUCAUGCAUGCAAUAGGUGCACCGGAAGUGGCAACAUCGUUCGAGCUCGACCGGGGGAUCCACGAAGGCUCGGAGAUCACUCAGGAAGCGGAGGUCCAGCCAGCCGGACAAGAGGAGCCCGAAGAGGAGGUCGAGUGCCCUAAUCACGAGCCAGCUUCGUUCGUGAAAGGCAAGCCCCGGAGCAUCUUAAGUCUCCCACUUUAAUUUCAAAAACAUACUUGAUUAUGUUAUAUCUAUUGAUGCAUUACGUAUAGGAGUUGUGAUGAAACCCUUGCUGCAUUAUACCCUUUCCUUGUCCAGAUAUCUUACCACUACCUGGUCAUAGAGUUAGGAUCGAGUAGCAGCUUAGUCAUGCUUUAAUCGGUAGAAGUCGGGUGAUAUCCUGUCACCUACGCGAGAUAGAGUUGUGUCGGAUCAUGAUUGACUAUAUGUGCUAUCGUGGGAAAGAACCUGAUUAAAAUGACUCAAGAUGGGCGGAGUUUUGCAAGGUUGUAGUAACUCCAUCUGUGGCAGUUAAGGACUGAUCGUUGUACGUCCUCUUGUCAUGUUGAACGCAUACCUGACACUUAGUUGGCCGGAUAACUCGUUCCGACCGCGAAGCCUAGUAGUAUGACUCAGGCCGGAAGACCGGCAAGUAUAAAGUGCGCACUACCGGAGGAAGUGCGGUGUGCGGGGGACCAUUGGCGUAAGACCAAAGGCAGAUGAGUUAAAAGUCCUGACCUCCCUGGCAGAGUGAUAGCCCUGGGAGUGCGGCGCUGAUCGGAGCCACGAUUCCUGAGUCGUACCAAAGGUGACCCGUUUGCUCUCCGACGAGGGAUGCUUGGGUGAGUGCUAGGAAUAACCCUCUAGCUGAUAGGAAUCGAUUCGAAUCGCCAUUUCUCCCGGAUAGUGAGAACUUGACAGAGCAGCGGCAAACGUAGCAUUCACUAAGUACAAUGGUUCUUGAUAAUGAUGUUGAUGAUAGCAAGGAAGAACAUAUGAUGAACUUGAUAUGGUUAUUAUUGUUUGUAAUAAAUAAGUGAAGUGUUUAGUCUAGGUGCUAAUCUAGUGGUAGGCUAAUGAUGAUUAAUAUGAUGCUUUUACAAAUGGUGUAGUAUCCACUUAAGCUUUUGGCAAAUGUUGAGUCAAGCCAGCUACACUUUGUACUCAGCCUUGCAUGAUCCUUGGUGUCUUUAUGUUUGACUAGACGGGUAAGUCUAGCUGAGUACAUCCUCGUACUUAGGGUUUAUUCCCACCUGUUGCAGAUGAUGUCUUUUAUGAUGGCUUCUGCAAGACCUGUUUCCAUCCCGCUGGGGAUGAGGACUAAACCGUUGGGCACGGUCCUCUAACGACUUCGUACCUUGAUGCUUUUGGUGGAUGAGAUGAGACUCUUGCAGUAACAAGAACUUAUGAAAUGGGCGUGUGUAAACUAUUUUGCUUCCGCUACUCCAAAACUUGUGUUGUAAUAACUAAGUAACUCCGAUGUGGUGCCGCUUCGUCGGCAAUGAAUGACUAUGUAACAUCCGUUGUAUUAUGUUGAACUAUUACGAUCUUGGUUUGUUGCAAGUUGGUUUGAAGUUCUUCGUGAUUUUAGUUUACUACCGGGAUUAUAUGGGAUCAAGUCUCGAAACUUGAUUGCUAGUUGAUCGUUUCUACACUUGAACUCUUAUAAUUUGGUCGGUUCUGUGACAUUUUAUAUGGUGGGUGCAAGUGAAUUCUGAUUUUAGAGGCAUGAAACAUCUUUGGACAGCGGUCCAAAAAUUUGACCAAACUCAACACAGAGCAAGCAGCAUAUGUAGAAGGUUUAAUCAUGAACAAAUAUUUGGCCAUGGUAGGAAUAAAGCUUGAUUAUUCAAGAAACUUGCUAUUGAAUUUUGCUUUUUAUAAAAGAAAACCCAACUACUUUGCAAGAACCAGCAAGCAUCAUGUCAUCCUACUAUAUCACAUACAUCAAUUACUUAGAUAAAAUGGGGUCCCUAUAACAAGUGUUCAUAAAUCUCUAGGGAUAUUAGCUAAGAAUAAGAAGUAUGCAAAAACAUAUUUGAACAUAGGAGACAUGUUCGAUGGAGUAUGAAGGUAACAUCUUUUUAAACAUUUCAUUUGAAAAUCUUUUUGGGGAAGAGGGUUUUCACAAACCGAGAUUUUUAAUUGAAUAGUCCUUCCCCCACACUUGUUUUCUUUCCUGUCAUGGUUAGUCACAAUAUAUAUAGAAAACAAGUGCACAAGAUAAACAAACUUUUUUUUAUUGAUAACUUUGAAUAGGCACAUUACAUUGGACGGGAAAAAAUAUUUGAAACAUAAAUAUUGUGAAAAGGAAAAAUGUGCCUAAACAAAGAUUCGUGUAGGAGGUGUGGUCUAAAGAUCUUCAACAAGGCGACCAACACCUAAGGCUUCAGCGACCUUUCUAAGUUUAGUAUUAAACUUGAAGCAAAACCUAUUAACAUCAUCACUGAGGUUCCUAAUCUCAGUGUUCUUUUCCUCUAGGUCGUCUUCUAAAACCCGUAACUCAGCACGUAGGCUAGCCUGCUUAGCUAAAAGCUUGGCGAUGAUAUUGGGAUCAUCUUCUUCAUCGCUGCUCUCGUACUGUCCUGCACGACGCUUGAUUGACGGUUGUGGCAAGUGCCUCCUGAUCCUAGGGAGAGUACUGGACGAUUCCGUCUUCUUGGCCUUGCCACCCAUCUUGCUACCAGCAUGAUUGCCUUGCCUAUCACCACUAGGGGCUUUUCUCUUAAGUCCUAUGUUGCUAGUGGAUGAACGGGCAGUAGCAGGUAUGUUGGCGGCGCUAUUGGUGGGCGCUUUGUGGUUUGCUAGUAACAACGCUAACAACUUUCUCUUCUCAACAUGGACCUCCUUGCUAGAACUCUCUUGGUAAGGUGCUAUGUCUAGAUUGGCUAUGGUCUUGGGAGCAUUGAUCAGCGAGAGGGCAUAGCUAGACAUGGUCACUACUGAAGAAUGAGAUAGCUUAGCAAUCUUCACAAGAGAAAGAUGAGAAAUGGUUGGUGUGAGAAGAGAAGAGGCCUAUGGAAGAUUUUAUAGGUGCUAACGCAGUCUCUGAUCUGGAAACAACUUCAUCGUAACCAUGGACAUGAUGCUAAUCAGUGCAAAAGAGGAAGGGAAAAAGAUUGGGGCCGAUUGGCGGACCUGGGGGUGCGCCCGCACCACUGGGUCCACCAGUCGGCCUCAGUCUUUCGAGUAUUUCUUUCCCUCUCUGAGUAUUUCACAAUACUGGUUACGAUCAAUCAUGAUGCGCACUGGAAUCAGAGUGAUAGUGUGUGGGAUAGAGUUUUGAAUUUUGAAAACUUUCUAAAAGGUAUCACACUAUCAUGGAUUUAUGAGUGAUUGAUACCCAUGAUCACAAAGAUUCAAAAAUGAAGAAAAGAUCAUAGGGGCAAUAUGGACUACUCAUAAAUACAACAAAUGCACCAUUUAUUCAAAACAUAAAUAGAAAGAAUCUAUUCAAAAUAAAUAAAUAAGUCAAAAGAAAAUAUAUAUUUAUAUAUUUUUUUAUAAGUAAAAACUUACCUAGGGAUAACUUACCGAUUUACCUUCGGCAAGGGCUCAUCUUUAUACUCCGUUGAGCGGGACUCUUCUUCCAUUACUUCUUGCUUGAUGAUGGCACAUCCAUCUUGGGAGGAGUAGACGGUUGCACCUGCUUGGGCCUCCACUUUAGCAGUAUCACCUUUGGAGGUGUUGAAGUUUGUUCAACCUUCUGCUUUGGUUUCCACACCUGCUUCGGUUGUGAAGGCUUGGGGACUUCGUCCCUCUUUUCAUUCAUUUUAGGAGCUAUUUUCUUUUUCUGCUCCUUAUUAUUUUUCUUAGGAGCCACCUUUUCUUUUGGCUUUGGCUUUUUCUUAGAUAUUUUUGUAUUUUUAAUGAGUUGAGGCUGGAUCUCAACCAACCUGAUGCCUUGGGGGUUUGGCCCAUAGAGGAUGCGUAUCAUAUUGCACUCUUGUUGAUGGCGUGGCCUGAACUCGAACUUCUCUUCUUAGCCAUUAAUGUUGAAGCGGAUUUCUCCAGCCCCAACGUCAAUCUGUGCUCCAGCUGUACUCAAGAAUGGUCUUCCCAGGAUUAGUGGUGUUUCUUUAGUGAGCUCCAUGUUGAGCACCACAAAAUCCACUGGAACAUAGUAUCCUCUGAUCUUGACAGGGAUGUCUUGAGCAAUCCCUGCCAGGUAUCGGACUGACGAGUCUGCUAACUGGAGUGUCAUGGUGGUUGGCUCCAAGUUGGUGAAGUUCAUCCUAUCAUAGACUGAUUUCGGCAUGACGCUCACACUCGCCCCCAAAUCACAUAGGGCGUGGUCGAAUUGUUGGGCCCUAAUUGAGUAAGAGAUUGUGGGGCACCCAGGAUCCUGCUUCUUCUCGGGCAGCUCAUUGAGUAUAGCUGCGCUACAUUCUUCUGUCAGCUUGACAACUUCAGUGGACGGCAAUGGUCGCUUCUUGUUGAUGAUGUCCUUGAUGAACUUGGAGUAGGACGGAAUAUGCAAGACAUCCAUCAACGGUACACUGACGUGUGUCUUUUCGACCAUUUCCGCGAAGCGGAGGAACUGUUCAUCUCCGUCCUUCUUCUUCCUCCUUUCUCUUGUGGGAAAGGGUAGCAUCGUGGUGUCCCCUGUUGACGGUCCUUAAGUGUAACACCCCAGUGUUAUGGUUGCAUCAAUCACAUGCAUAACAUGAGCAUUAUCAUCUACUCAAGCAUAUCAUGAUCAUCAUCUACCUUGAGCCAUGUCAUUUUAUGCUUAAGUGUGCUCUAACUUGUUUAAUCAUACUUCCUAUGCUUAUGUUUGUGAGAACCAUGCUCAUGCUUAUGUGUUAAGCCUUGGUAAUUAGCUUAUCUAUGCUUAACUCAACCUUAGGAAUAAUGUUCAUGUUGAUCACUUCUCCAAAAUAAUCACUUAAGUCAUACUUCUUUGUAUAAGCCCUAGCAACCUCUUUUUUAGGCUUUUAAAAAGUGUUUCGUAAAAUGUUUGCAUAUCAAAACUUUCGACAUCAAAGUUGUAGAAAAUUUUAUAAGGAACAAAAGUUGUUUUAUGGCCAUCUCAUGAAAAUGAUCACAACUAGCUUAAAAGUGACCCACAAGGUAGAUUUGGGGCUGUUUCCAACACUUAGAAAUUUUUUCUAAGUCCAGGGAUGCAGCAGUUUGCUUGAUCGAUUUUGAAAACUUCAUAUCUCUCAAUCCAGGCCGAUCUGGCUCUUGCUCCAGUUGACAAUGUUGUAGAACUCAGCUAGUACUCCAACUUUGUUAACUACACCGUCUCGUAACUUGCUCCGGUUUGGGAGUUAAUCAUCGUCAAAGUCGCUCUAUCAGACAGUCAUCACAUUAACUGAAUCGAGGCCGAGCUCGUCGACGUGGCCGACCGGCGGCAGAGCUCCGUCGACAUUUGGCAUCCGUACAUCGCUCCUGGGCCCGCUCGUCAGCUCCCAGCGCGCGCAUGACCUCCACAGCGACACCUCGGGCGAAGUGGACGCGUUCAUUCCUUUCUGCCUCGCCCUCUCUCGCCAGAAACGCGGCCGCAGCGAGCUCACCGUCGCGAGCUCACUCCGGCGAGCUCGUACGCGCUCCUCGCUGCGCUGCUGUCCACCAAACCUCGCUCACAGCUCCGCCGUGAACCGCUCUCCACCUUCCACCCGCUAACUCGCCGUGAAACCCACCGGUGAGCCGCCAUUUCCAACUUCCCCUAAAUCGGGUCGCCGUGACCUUCUUCUUCGGCGAACUCAAUGCCGAGCUCCUCGGAGCCUCUCGUCUUGUCUGGUUAGGUCCUAGAUGUAGCUUAGGUCCUUAGCGAAUGUUUGCGCCACUUGGUGGACGCUCUACCGCGCUCACCGUCGCCGGACACGACGUGCAGCGCCGCCGUGUUUCCGCCGGAGUUGGGCUCUCUCGUGGCCAACUCUUUCCACCCCGUCUCAAGCCAAGUCGCCUACCUAGGAAGCUUCGCCGUAGUCCGCUGGUGCUCUAGGAAACCCUAGGUCGCGCUCUACCGGCCUGAGAGCUCCGACGUAACGCCGAGCACCUCUGCCGAGCCGCCAUGGUCGACGGCAAGCCAUUUCCGGUGGCUCCGCCGCGGGGAAAAGGGGGUCAAUCGAGUCGCAAGGGUCUGACGGUCACGUUGGUACCCUUGAUUUGGCCGGGAACCUCGCCGUCGCAGAGAAAUCGCCGGCGAGAGUCGCCUCGGCCGUGAGGAAGACGACCCUGACAGGCGGGACCCGCUGUCAUUGUCACCUCGUUUCCCUCCUUUUCUUUUAUUCAAAUCCAGGUUUCUGGCUUUCUUGCAAAAAUCAUAUCUCCUGUUUCUUAGAUCCAAAAAUUGUGAAACCAAUUUUAUGAGAUUCUUUGAGAUGUCUAUUGUUUUGUAAAAAUAUAAAAUGAACCAUGUUUUCUGGGAAAAAUAAUUAUUAGGAUUUAAUCUUGUUAUUCAGGAGUAAAUUCAUAUCUUUUGUUUUACUGCUCCUUUUGCCAUGAAAUUUUUAUGGUAGUCUCUGUGUGGUAUUAGAAUGCUAUAAUAAAUAUUGCAUGAUUUUUGGAGUACUGCAUCUGUGGUAUGUAAUUUGUGAUUGAGAUAUGGCUUGUUUUCUUAUUAAAAUCAUAGUAAUUAAUUGAUGCUUGUGCUGGUGCUCUACUUUGGUGUCACCCUUCUUUAUGGUAAUAGUAGUAUGUAAAUAAUCUGAAAUCUGUUGUUUGACACCAUAUAAGCCAUGUUUCUGAAUUUAUGAAAUAAACACCUUGUCACAUGUUAAAUGCUUAUCUUAAUUUUGGCAUGUGCAAUUGCUCUGAAAAUUUUAUGGUAAUGUAUAGAUGCUAUGCUGGUGCUUCUGUAAUUUUUGUAGAGUUUUCUGAGCACUUUUGCUAGUAUCUUGUAAUUAUGUCCUUUUAUAGAAGUAAAUUGAUAAAUGCCUUGUUAUUAAAUAUCUAGGGGUUAACAUAUGAUGUUCUGGUUAUCUUAUGAUAUAUUUGUGCUUAUGAGCUAAUUGGUUGACACUGUUUAUGCUUUGACUAUGUCAUCACAUAAUUAAUUAAAGGGUUAAGAGCUGUUCUGGACAGCAAGGGAGUAAUCUAACUUUUGCUUAAUGAUAACUUGGUUUUCUAGAAGACUUGUCUAAAUCAAAGUUGUUGUAAACUUUAUGAACUAGUUGUGGUUUAAUUUUGGGAUCAAUUGGUCCAAUGGCUUAAAAGUUAUAGCUAUUCCAAGUUGGGUUCCAGAAAUAGGUGCUUUCUGUUUUCUGGGACAGAACCUGGAACAUUGUUUAAAUGACUUGUUUAAUUUAUGAAUCUUGCUGUGAUGUUUAAAGAUGAAUUGUAGGCAAUUUCAUAAGAUUUCCAGAAUGUCCUCAUUUAUGUUUGUUGGAUCCUUACAGCAAUAGUUAUGACCUGUUUAUUGAGCUGUUCUGUUAUAUGAUGCUUGCUGUUUUUGGAUUGACUUGCUAAGUUUUGCUAAGUUAUUUAGUUACCCUUUUGUAAGUUUAUCUUAGAAGUUUACUCAGUAGAUGAGUGUCCAGUGAAGUUCUAAUUGCAUCAUCAAGCAUUCGUUCCCUUCUAGUAUGCACCCAUUCUUACUUAUCAUACAUGCAAUAUGUGCACCGGACGCAACAGCUUCGUUCGAGCUCCAGGUGAACCCCGAAGGCCAGGAGGGCAACCCGGAGGUGGAGGCCCAGCAAGCCGGACACGAGGAGCCCGAAGAAGAGGUUGAGUGCCCUAACCACGAGCCAGCCUCGUUCGUGAAAGGCAAGCCCCGGAGCAUCUUAAGCCUCCUACUUUAAUUUCGAAAGCUUAUUUGAUUAUGUCAUAUCUAUUGAUGCAUUUACGUAUAGGAGUUGUGAUGAAACCCUUGCUGCAUGUUACUCAAUCCUUGUCCAGAUAUCUUACCACUACCUGGUUAUAGAGUUAGGAUCGAGUAGCAGCUUAGCCAUGGUUUAAUCGGUAGAAGUCGGGUGAUAUCCUGUCACCUGCGCGAGAUAGGGUUGUGUCGGAUCACGAUUGACUAUAUGUGCUAUCAUGGAUGGAACCUGAUUAAAUUGAUUUAAGCCGGGCGGAGUUUUGUAAGGUUGUAGUAACUCCAUCUGUGGUAGCUAAGGACCGACCAUUGUACGUCCUCUUGUCAUGUUGAACGCAUGCCUAACACUUAGUUGGCCGGAUAACUCGUUCUGACCGCGAAGCCUAGUAGUAUGACUCAGGCCGGAAGACCGGCAAGUAUAAAGUGCACACUACCGGAGGAAGUGCGGUGCGCGGGGGACCAUUGGCGUAAGACCAAAGGCAGGUGAGUUAAAAUUCCUGACCCUCUGGCAGAGUGGUAGCCCUGGGAGUGCGGCGCUGAUCGGAGCCGCGAUUUCUGAGUCGUACCAAAGGUGACCCGCUGGCUCUCCGACGGGGGAUGCUUGCGUGAGUGCUAGGAAUAACCCUCCAGCUGGAUAGGAAUCGAUUCGAAUCGCCGUCUCUCCCGGAUAGUGAGUGUUGAUAUUUGGGAACGCAAUAAGGAAUUGAUCCGCAAGCGCACGGAUAUCGGUGAGCACUUCACCCGGGAAAUUAUCCAGAGUAUCGUAUUUAUUUUUUUACCACUAGGAGAAAGAGUGCAUCUGACUAACCGGUCUAUUACUACUAACCUUUAGGCACAAAGAAUGUCUUUCGAUGUGAGUGAUAAAUAGAGAAGACUGCAACCGUAGUCUCCUUCUAACCUUGGUAAGGAUGAUCUACUGUUCUAAUGGGGAGGCUAACGGAAUCUAGACACCACAAAGGAUGUUCGACCCGCACCUAUAAACCCUAUCCUUCUUGCUAACGAGAUGUGAUCUACAAAGGUAGCUCGGAAUUGUCACGUUCCUCACUACUACCACGGUCCAGCUAGUCAGGGAAUAUCUAUGAGUACCCCAGCCUAAACACCACGUUUACGCCAGCAAUGAUUACUCUAAACUCUACGCGAAGAGAUUAAAGUAAACUCAUAAACCAUAAGAACAAUAAAACAAGAACUUACUAGAAUUUAGAAGUCGAAUUACUGAAGAAUCCUAGGAGCAAGCUUCGGGUUAGGAGAACUUGAUCUCGCAGGUACAAGCUUGGAGUAGACACCGACAGGCCGGGCUUCCUCCACUCUACACCUCCACUCUAUCUCUCUCAAUCUAGUAGAAACUAGAAGAUCUAUUUCUACCUUACAUUGAUUGCUAAGCCUAAAAGGAAAUAUUAAUUAGAGAAGAGGUUUUCCUUCGAGGGCACCCCUCAGUCUCUAUGAUAAUUUCUUCAUGUCUUCUCCAGGGGCCAGGGGGGCCUUGCUUAUAUAGUCCUCCCCUUCUAUGCGUUUCUGGGUCGAUAGCCGAGGUGGUACUAUGUUUUUCUUGAUCCAAUAGGUCGGUGGAAUAUCCCGAACGAAAGAGUCCUGAUUUGGCUCCAACAGGGGGGCGGGCGCCCAGGAUACCAGGGCGGGCGCCCUGGGCCUGGCCUAGUUUUGCCUCCGCUUCGGUCUCGUGGCUUCUGGAGUCUUCUAGAUGAUGUAAAAUUGCGCGGUGCGUUGAUAUCUCUAUGUAAUCCCGACAUGUAGGCCUUUCUUCCUUAUUUCCUGAUAACCCCCUGCAGAAACAGAUAAACAACAAAACUCGUGGAAUUCUGUUAGAUCAAACCCUAAUUCUAGGUGUUGUUUGCAUAUUGGUCCUUUCUCUAGUUUAUUUGAUAAUUAAAAUUGAUACUUAAGAACUGUCAACAAAUACCCCCAUACUUAGGCUUUUACUCGUCCUCGAGAAAAGGAUGGUUAAGAAAAAUAUCUGGGGUAAAACAUUUAAAACAUUCUCUUUAUAUAAUUGCAGGGUGUUAAAAUUCCACUGUGUACCAUAGUCAGGGAUGUUUAUGGUUAAGAGUAAAGAUCCUUUCUUCUCAAUCCUGUCACUUGGAGUUUUUGUUAUAUUUUUGAAAGAAAGUUAGCAUACCUUUUUAUCCUCAUUGGUUCUCUCAGAUCACUCAUUAUCUUUUAUAUAUAUAUCUCACUGAGGUUGUUUUAUUUUUGCAAAAAUUCUCAAGCAUUCUUACUUUGCAUUUAUUGCCUGAUCAAAACGGGAUCCGAGGAGGGGAAUGUCAUACUCUUAGAUCAAAGACUUUGGAAAUUAAAAUCUUUGUCAACUCUUGCUGGCAUAUUGCUUAUUAGAGGGACCAUGGGCUAUCAUUUUCAUUUCAUCAUUUUUUUAAGUGGAUACCGAGGUACCCCUAAUUCUACUGCCGGACACUUGUCCAUUUUUUCUGCGAGGUUGUCGAGCACUUGCUCCUUUUUAUUUCCUCGAAAUAUUUUUAUUUUUGCAUAGCCCAUGCCUCUAAUGCAAUAAUACUUCGGAAGAGUGAAUCUUUCUGAAAUAAUGUCUUGAUCUUAGGAGCAUGAUAAAUCUCUCAACAAGGGUCUAACUCAUUUUGAACAAACUCAAUACAGAGUAGAUAGCUUUAUAAUCAUCAUUAAUAUUUUUAUUUUUAUCAGGCAUAUAAAACACUGAGGAUGGUAGCUAGAAUUUUGAAUAUUUUGAAAUAAAUUCUCCAAGCAACAAUGAUAUCAAGAAUAAGAAACUCAUACUCUACCAUCACAUAUUCCAUAUUGACUUGAGUAACACAGGGUUUUAAAAUGAUUUUAUAAUAAUUGUAAGUUUUCAGGAAAUAUCACAGAUUGAGAUUAAUCAUGAUUAGAAAUAUUUUAAUCUUUUUAUUUUAUCAUGUCAGAAACAGUAAUCUGCAUAAUCCAAAAUAAACGUAUGUAUGAAGUAAAGUGUGCAGAGUGUGUACCUGAACCGUGGAGUGGUGUAGUCGGAGUGUGUUUGGCAUGUUAAGGGAUCUCCCCCAUACUUGUUUUCUGCUUUCUUGCACAAAAAUAAAGUAGAGACACACAAGACAUAAUAAUAAUAGUAAUACUCUUUAUUGAUCUUGAGGCAUUUAGUACAAAAGACUGAUAACAAACUGAUA